RNAcentral lists this long non-coding RNA (45101 nucleotides) under Lathyrus oleraceus (garden pea). RNAcentral's name for it is "Pisum sativum (pea) long non-coding RNA (PSAT_LNC004181)". Lineage: Eukaryota; Viridiplantae; Streptophyta; Magnoliopsida; Fabales; Fabaceae. The record is from RNAcentral.
UUGUAUGUUCCUCUAGUAAGCGUCAAGAUGAGUUUCAAAAUUUCAUUUUUGAAGAGAUUUCACAUUUGCUAGAGAUUGAUGAGCUUGAUAGUGGUAAAAGACAAAAAUCAGAUUGGUACUUUGAAACGAGGCAGAGACACACGUUGGAGCUCACAUGUUUCUUCUGUUUGUAGUAUGAUAGAUUUGCACAAUCCAACUUGUGUGGUUCUUGUAGAUAUUAAAAAAAAAUGGAAGAAGUUAUGCUACACGUGGGGAUGCUAAUGUUGCUUAUAGGUUUAUGAAAUCAUUUGAGUUCACAUUAAUUUUGCAAAUGAUGAGAGAACUUAUGAGAAUUACAUAUUGUUUAUGUCAAGCUUUACAACAAAAAUCUCAAAAUAUACUUAAUGCUAUGCAGUUAGUCACGACUACAAAGACAUUAGUUCAAAAGUUGAGAGAAGAUGGAUGAGAUGGUUUAUGAAAGAUGUAAUAUUAUUUUGUGAAAAAAUGAUAAUGAUUCUCCUUAUUGUAAUGCAGAUUAUAUAGAGCGUGAAUGUCGUGGGCGUCAUCAAAUGGAUCACAUCAUUGUGGAUGAACAUUUAAGAGUGGAUCUCUUUUGUGUUACAAUCGGUCAACAAGUGUAAGAAUUGAAUCAUAGGUUUUUUGAGCAAACAAUGGAGCUUUUAAGUCUAAGCAAUAGUUUGAUUCAUAAGGAUAUUUACAAAGUAUCUGAUAUAAAUAAUAUAUGUGCUCUUGUAGAUAAAUUAUAUCCUACAGAUUUUAGUGAGCAUGAGAAAAUUAGUAUGAGAUAUCAACUUCAAUACUUUCAUCUUCAUGUUGUUGGUCAUCUAGAUUUAAAUAACUUGUCAACUAUGUAUGAAUUGUGUGAAGCUCUAAAAAAGACAGGGAAGACAAAUACAUAUUAUUUGAUCGACCGACUUAUCCGUCUUAUCUUAAUCCGUAUUAUAUUUUUAUUUUGUUGAAGUUAUUUUGAAUAUUUGAAAAAAUUAUAUCUAAAUUUUAUAAUUUUUAGUCAAUUUCAAUUGUAAUAUUUUAAUUAAUAUUUAAUGCCCCAUAAUAUUAAAAUCGUAUCCAAAAUUUAAAGGCAUUGAAGUAUUUUUUUUAAUGUAAAUCUCAAUAAUCAUGCAACAAACUCCCAGAUAUGCCACUACGAUAAGCCAUAUUAAAAUUGAAACAUCCCUCUUGAGGAGUGUUGUGAAACUCUUGCAACAUAGUAGAAAUUAAUAUGGAUUUACUAGAUAAAUCUAACCUUGGAAUGAGAAGCCAUGCAAAUCUUGCAUAAUAGCCACCAACUUUUCAACCAUGCAAUCCCCAACACUACAUUUAACUCCCCCAAAUCAAAAAUGUUGAAUCUUUUGCAAACCAUCCUUCAUAGUGAUUUUCAUCACCGACGCAACUUUUACACUUGUGAAUAAAUUUUUUGAAAGUGAAAUUGUGAGUAUCACAAGAAUGAUCACCACAACUCCUUGUAUCGUAGUACCAUUAAAUAUUAUUGUGUCCAUAAGAUUUUAUAGCGGAUUUUUCUAAUACUUAAAAAAAUAAUAGUUUCAUACUAGAUUUUUGAAAUAUAAAAUAUAGGUGGUCAUAUCCCAUUUUUCCUCCUUGAUCAUUUCAUCCAUUUAUCAUAUGCAUAGCUCUUUUUUGGUUAACCUAUUUCUUUCUUAUCAUAUCAUUAACAUUUAUUUUUUAGAAUUUUUUAGAAGUCAUGUGACACUUUAAAGAAAAGUCAACAAAAAUCUACUAUACUAUUAUUCGUUCUUUAUCAUAUGUUGAACCAAUUUGCAUUUGCUUUCAUAUUUGAGUCUCAUUCAUAAACAAACACCACAGUUAAAUUUAAUUUGUUUUUCCAUCAUACUAUAAACCAAUUUUUAUUCAAAUCAUAAACUAUGCAUACCUUUACUUUUAAUAAAGUCUAUACAAAAUCAAGUUUAUUUCAUUUUCAUAUCAUCAUACAAUAUCAUCAUCUUAAUAUCAUGUUAUAAUUCAUGUUUUCAUUUUCAUUAUCAUUGUCUCAUCAUCAAGUCAUCAUGCCAUGCUCCAUUACCAUGUUCAUUGGACCUACAAAACCAUGUUUCAUCAUAAGAAUAUAAUGGGCCCGUUUGUUUUGCCUUUUUUUAAAAAUAAUUUUUAUAGUGUUAAAUAUUUUAGUGUAAAAAAAAUUUACAAAGAAAUUUUUCAUAAAAACUUCAAUUUUUUGAAAUGUUAUUUUAGAUAUUUCAUCAUUUUAUCGAUUUUUUUUGGAUAUUUCAUCAUUUUAUCGAAACUUUUUUGGAUAUUUCAUCAUUUUAGCUAUUCUUAAAAUGUUAUUUUAGAUAUUUCAUCAUUUUAUCGAAACUUUUUUGGAUAUCAAAAUUUUAAAAAAUCACUUAAUUUUGAAGCUAUUUCAAAUAGUUUUUCACGAAAAUCAUUUUUAAGAUACAAUUUUUUGAAAAAAUUGUGAUUUUGACUAUAUUUUGAUCUUAAAUAAUAUAUAUUUAUGUUAUAGAAUGAACAAUUCAAUCUUUUAAUUUAUAAAAAAUAAAUUUAGAAAAACUUGUAAUAUUUUGAAAAAGAUUUUUGUAGAAUCCAUUUUCAAAAAUACAAAGAAAAAAUCCAUUUUGGUGACAAAUUCAUAAGCAUGAACAUAAGCAUGCUAACAUGAUAAUCAAGCAUUGUGGUGACAAAAUUUUGCAUCAAAUCAUCACUAAUUAAUGUGAUGACAUGCAUACAUGCAUCAAAGUUCAACUUGGAACCACAUGGUUUUCAUAAACCAAAACCACUUCCAAAACUACUUCAAACAAACACAAAACCAUAAUCGACUUGCAAUCCCAUUUCAACAGAAAAUUAACUUCGACAAACACACUUAGAUGCAAUCCUGAUCCUUGAUUAAACACUUUUUCACAUGGAUCAUUAAUUGGUGCAAUACUAAUCAUUCUUCAUUUUCAUUUAUCACAUUUUAACCCCCUCCAAAACUCACUCACAUUUGAAUUCAUUCACAUUCAUCUUAGUCCAUAAAAACAAUACCAUAUCACCAACCAAAGGGAAAAAAUAAAGAUUAAAGGUGUAGUUCGAUUUUGAACUUGAUUUUUGAAGUUUCUCGGAUCUUGAAAUUAAGUUUGGAUUUUAGAAGAGGAAGUUGCAAGGAGUUCGAAUCUACAAAAACUUAUGAACAUAAAGCUUGUUUGGACCUUCGUCGGAGCUUGAUCGAGAGUCAUUGCGUCCACCAUUGUCGCCGGAGUGAGCUUAAGCAUUUUCAUUCAAGUAAGUCUUAAUCGAUGUAAUUUGAGCGAUUUCUUUGCAUGGUUGAGUUUUGCACCUAUUUUAAUCACGAUUCGUCAUUAAACUUCAUGUUUUUGUGUUAAUGUAAGACUUUAUAAUUUUUGACUCAUAAACAAUAGAGAUGUCAACGGGGCAGGGAAUGUACGGAGGAUGUUUCCCCACUCCCCGCCCUGCCCCCCAAUAUUUUCCUCAUCCACAUCCCUGUUCUCCGUCACGGGGGAAUAUUAUUCUCCAUCCCCAUCCCCACGAGGAACCGGAGAUCCACGGAGAUCGAGUCUUGAAAAAAUUUAUAUAUUUUUCGAUCAAAACUAUGACACUAGUAAUUCGUUAUUUUUUCUUUUUUAAAAAAAAAGAUAUAUUUUGCAUAUUUCUUUUUAAAAAAAACAUAUCUUGUAUCAAUAACAAAAAAAAUGCAAAGACACUUGCAAUUACGAAAACAUAACUACUAAUUUACUAAUUGAAUGAAAAACAAGUUACUAAUAAAGUGUAGUGAAGUCGAAGAGUAAUUACCAUAAACACAAUGAACAAAGGAUAGUGGUUGUUGUGAUGAUGAUGAGAACGAAGGAGGGGAGGAAUGAAAGACGCAGAGAGAAUUGAGAAAAGAAGAAUAGGAGACGGUGUGUACAUUGUAUCCAAUGGAUGCAUUUUUAUAGGAUUUGGUACUUGGAAAAUUGAAAAAUCCAUUAUACAAUAAAACAAAAAAAUAAAAUGAUUCAUUGAUAACUCUUCAUUUUCUAAUAAAUUAAUUAUUAUUUUAAUAAAAAAAAUAUGCAAAAUUACAUAAUUAUAUAUUAUAUAUAAAAUUUAUAUAAUAUGGUCGGGGUAGGGGAAUCCAUAUGACGGAUGGUACUUUCCCAAUCCCCACUCCAAAGUGUCAUCGGGAUUUUUUUUUCCUCCAUCCCUAUUCCAACAGGAGAAAAAAUCCUCAACUUCGGAGCUCCACAUAGAUAAUCCCCACAGGGAUCCCCAUUAACAGGUGCAAAUUGACAUUCAUAUGAACACAUAAACUCAAAAAUGGUAAAAUCAUGAAUCUAAAUCUUUCUGCGCAAACUUAUACACCUUUGAGCCGGUUUUGCGCGUUGAUUUUGAAUAUACAAUUAGUUUUGCGAUUGAAUGUAUGUUUUAGCCGAAUGAAGUCAUUCUUUGCUCGUUUUUAAGUCACUUUUUAUUUUAUUUUAAUAUGAUAUGCGGCCUGUUUCUCAAUUCUAAUGGCAUAUUUGAAUUUGUUGCGAAAUUCAAACUCCAACGAUAUAUUAGUUUGUCAAAUUUGAUCGCGUUUUGGUGACAUCAGAAUUUUGUAUAUUGAUCAUUAUAAAAAAUAAAAAUAAAAGAAUGUGGGACCUAUGCGGUCCCACCACCUUUUUCCUUUAUUUGUAUAGGUAUUUGGAUUUAAGUUUGCAACUGGUUUAGUACGUUGCCAGUUUAUUACACUUUGAUCAGUUCAUGGGAUUGAAAAGCAGUGCGUAGCCGUGGUCUGAUUUGCUUGUAUCGGGAGCAUUUGAAAGGCAAUAAAUAGAGAGCUGUUUCAUAAUAACGAAGUGUGUUUUAUAGAUUUUCUCAAUAGUGUCUGAAUCCAAGGUAAUAGUCUGAUCUCAAUCGUGUCUGAAUCCAAGGUAAUAGUCUGAAUUAUAGCUUAUCUCAAUAGUGUCUAAAUCCAAAGGCAUGUCUUUUGGUAUGUAUGGAGGUUACAUGCAGAAUCUAUAUUUGGUGCACUUCUGCUUGGUGUGUAAUAGGCAUCUUGGUUAGCUUGAUGAGAACUGUCAUGAACAUGAAGCAGGUCAGAAGGGAUUAUUCUUUGCCGCUUGGUUCCUUGAGGUGGUGAAAUUUUGCUUGAUUUGGGAGAAACUUGGCUUGCAUAUAUUACCAAUGGAGUAAGAUGUGUGGUAGUUAAUUUUCAUGCCACAUUCUCAAUCUUAAUUAGUAUGAACUGUUUGUGUAGCAGUGGUGGAAGGUUUGAUCAAUUGUAGUGUAUUGAUAUCAGCACAUCUUGUUUAAUGCAAUUUGGCUUUUUUUUAAGAUAAAAAACUUAGUUUGAUUAACCUACUCUUAAUUACUUUAAGUUUUGAGUCGAUCAAAUACUUAUUUUGAUUAACUUACUCUUAAUUACUUUUUCUUUGUAUCUAUAAUAAUAACUCAAGAAUAAGGUGCCUUUGCUUUUUGCAAAAUAGGUAGGUUUUUGAGAAACAAUAGUACAGUGAAUACAUUACAUUGCAGUCUAAACAAUUGUCAUUUGCAUAAUUUAACAACAUGGGUGAACAGUGUAAAACACGUGAUUUACAACUCAACGCUAAAAAAGGAAGUACAUGAUAUACACGGGAAAAAAAGAAUACAAGCUAUCUUAUCUUAUUGUUAUUGAAAAAGCUACCAAAACUGAUAAGUUAGAUCCAUUCCUUUGGGUUGAUGCACGCAUCUAAGAGUUUCCAUUCUUCACUUCCUACUUCUGGUUUCUGCAAAGCAAAAUGAUAUCAGCAUUUCAGUACAAGAUUUAUAAAUGGAAUAUAAGAUGCUUCUAAUAUUCAACUUGUUUACACUUUAGUAGAAUAUAAAGAAGAUUAUAAAAUCAUACAUGAUCAUAUUCCCACCGAGAAGUCAGUGGGAGAGAAACAAGAAUACUCUCUAUUCUCCCUCCAGUUUUCAGUCCAAAUGUUGUACCUCUGUCAUAUACCUGUAGCCAAAAAACAGUAGCAACAUAAACUUAAACAUGAUCUCAAAAAGUGUAGAGCAAAACAUUUUGGUCUAUAAGAUAGCCUAAAAAGUGUACCAAAUUGAAUUCAACAUAUCGUCCUCUUCUCAAUUGUUGCCAUGCUUUCUGACGUUCUGUGAAGGGCAAAUCCUUUCUUUUCUCUAUGAUAGGUAUGUAUGCGGGAAUAACAGAGUUUGCACAUUCUGCAAGUAACCAUAGUUUAGGCAAGCACAUAAAUGAAAGAAGAUAAAUGUCUUUCAGCCGAAAAGCGGAGAACCAACAAUUUAUAUGUAUGCGCAAUUACCGGUAGCGAAGGAAAGGAGCAUCUCCUGAUCAUAAUCAUUCAGAUCAUCGAAAAAUAUUCCUCCCAGCCCUCUCCUUUCAUCUCGAUGCUGAAUUUAGAAUGAACAGAAAAAUAAGGAAAUACAACCAGAAACAGCAUAUACCAUGACUGAAUCCAAUUAGCAAAAAAAUAUGUAGUUACGCUUACGCCACUUUAGCCCCUAUACUGACUCAGCUGGUACACUAUGUUUACAGAAAUUGACAAACUAGAGAAUAAAAACAGUACAGAUAACCAGAUAUAGUUAUGUCAAAUUUGUCGCUUGUAAGCCCAAUAUUACCACCAUGGUUUUACCUCAUGUGAUUUCUGUUAGAAAUCCGCACCAGAAAAUAGGAUUUACUAUUGAAGGGAAAAGAGCAAAACUCUUACAAGAAAAGAACAAACUACCGUAGCCAAGGCUUUGUUGUGAUCACAUAUCGUGAUAUAGUAACUAAGGCAAUAACUGCUGGAGCUAAUUGACAAAAUGCACAUGAGGAUGGACAGAUGGCAUAUGAUCUUCACAAUCAGGAGCCAGGGCCUGUAAUUGAGAGAGGAAGCCUAACACAAAAUUCCUUCAAGUCAUGAUAAAUAGGAGAAGGAAUUCGCAGUGAUUGGUGUAAGAAUUAUGAAGUAUCUCUGUACUUCUCAUCUGGAAAUUCCUUCUGCACUUUCUUUUCCUUGCUAUUUCUCUUCAGUUCUAGAGCUAAGAAGUGGAUUAUUCUAUACAAAUUUCCCUAACAUCAUCUCAUUAAAAUCAUUAUUGUACGUUGCCAUUGUUAUUCUUAAUGAACAUUAAAGAGUUCUUCCAUCAUUAUCACUGUUAUAUUAUCUAAGUAUGAGCAUUACAGGAUCCUUCAGAGAGAAAUACUCCCUCUGCCAAACAGUCAAAGAGUUAACAAGCUAUUACAUGAAUGAAUGGAUGAAAUAGUACUACUAUCCUUCCAAUUAUUUAUACACUCAAUUCUAACAGAUUCCCCUAUAAAAGUGGCACCUCUCAUGCCACAUCCAUAACUUCCAGGUUCCGUCAUCCUUCUAGAGUAUACCUUCCACGGUUUGGGUUAGGGCCAGUGUCCAAAACCUGGUCCUCUUCAUGGCCCAAAUCAUUAUUGGACCCCAGGGUCCUAUCACUUUCUUUUGCAGGAUUUAUGAGUCUAGAAAUCAAGUGAACCUUGCGGUUACAAUGCAUGCAAAAAAAUCAACCUAUCUAAGACACCACCUAUCUAUUCGUAUUAUAAUCUGUAUAUACUACAUGCGAUGAUAUCUCCAUCCAGCUCUUGAUGCCCCAGCAUCACAAACACUCUUCCAUUUCCUAUAAAACACUCUAACCUACAGUCAUCAUUGCUACAAACUACACAGACUGGUUUAAUGUUUACUAUAGCCUACAGACUGGUUUAAUGUUUACUAUAGCCUUCAACUCAUCAUGUAAAAAUUUUAUCAAAGCUAAUGAUAACAGAUAGACAAGAAAAAUUCAAAUUUACUCUUUCACUAAAGGUUGAUGAACUGAACACUGAAUGCUCAUCACCGUACGACAAAAACACUUCAUUAUGUGAAAAGGGAUAAGACUGUACCUUGAUAUAGAAGUAAUCGUCACACCAUUUCUUGAAUCGGGGGUAAAAUGUAGGAUCAAAUUUGUCACAAGUCUGUUUUUGAAUCUGCAACAAAAGCAUGAUGUAAACUCAGUCAAGCACUUGUUCUUGAAUGCCUUAAAUAAAUACAAAACCAGAUGAUCACGACAAUGUUUCUAAAAAAUAAAGUUUAAACAGAAAAUCAUGCGGAAGAAUUUCUCAAGCAUCCUAUAUUCUCUCUUUUAUUAAACCAAUUUGGACAAGAGAUUCUUAUUUGGAAGGGGUGGGGUGUAGAAGGUAAUCACCAACACCAAGUUAUCAUUUCAGAAGAAAUUUAGGAAAACAUGGAAUGAAUAUUUUGUUCCCAUUUCAUGGUUCAGUUCAAAUGUAACAUAGAAACAAAUGUUUGAAAUUAGAUAGCAGAUUUCUCACGCAUUUGAAGGUACAUUUUAUAGAAACACACAGAACCAUAUCCCUAUGCUUAAUAUUUCAGCGCCACCCAUUUCAAAGGAACCAAACUACACAUAUUAAAUUCAAGAAAACCUGUCUAAAACUGCAAACCCAUAUUAAAAGUAAUCACCUGAGACGUCAAAGUAAGGUGAUAUUUUAAAACAAAGGAAACUAUUUUAAAAAAACAGUUUACCAAGGAAUUUGACUCUUAACCACAAAAUUUGAUAAACCAAGUGUUAAGAACAUACUGAGUGGAAGUGCUUGACAUCCUCUUCAAAAAUAUAAGCAGGGGUUAAGUCGGUUCCUCCACCGAACCACCAUUGUCUAGGUGCUCCAGGAGCGUCUGCAGAAUGAAAUAGCAUGACAAUCAAUAGAAGCAAACUCAAGAGUCCUGUUAUCCAACGUUGCUACAAGUUUCACACUUUCAUGCUAGUAUAAUAUAUGUAUUAGACAAUACUGUUAGAGGACACUAGGGGUAAUUGGCAGUGUUAUUUCUGGCACGUGACAGGUGCACAUUGUACUUGUAUAUAAUAAUAUAGUAUAGUGAGAAUUCAGAAUAAUUUUUUCCAAAAUGAUUAUAAUGAGAAAUAGCUCAGAAAAUGAACAAAGUAGUGUUUGAAUAAAAGAAAGAAAAAAUAAAUUGCAUUACCUUUAGGGGCAUCAGUUUCAAAAUAGCGAUAAUUGAAAUGCAAGGUUGGGGCAAAUGGGUUCUUUGGAUGUAAAACCUGAACACAUAGAAAGAAAGACAGUGAGAGAAAAAUACAAUUGAGUUAUUCAAUGCUUGGUUUCAGUUUUGAGAGAAACAAACAUGAUUCUAAAAGUAUACAAUUGAUUUUGACAUUUCAUGUUUUUACCUCCAAAAAAUUUUAUUCUAUGCUUGAAGUUGAAAUUCCAUGUUUUUGCCUCUAGAAUUGAGAUUGUCUAAAGUUAUUGUUGAACUCACUUUACAUAUACAAACAUAAAUCAUGUUAUACCCAACUCAGUCAAUGUUUGGUUCCACAUAUGAACCUCCUAGAAUCGUGUUUCGGUAAGUCAAACUUGAUUUAACCAUGAAUUGUCAUGUUCAAUUUCCAGAUUCAGAAUAGAUUCAAGUCUCAAAAUCAAUUCUACCUAAAAGUUAAUAUUUCUAUCUUCUGCCGUAGGAUAUAAUCAAUUCUCAAGUAUAUUGUAACAUGUAUACACAUAGAAAAAUAAUUCUGAUCUAAACUAUCCAAACAUGAAUUUAUAAAAAAUCAUUCUUUUCAUAAAUGCAUGCAAACAUAAAUCACUUCAAAUUUAAAUUCAAGUCUCAGUACAUCUAAAAUCAAUUCAAUAAAUAUCAAUUUUCCAGAGCUGCAUAACCAAACAAACACUUAAUUUUAACUUAAAUCACCCCAGGACGACCGCAUUUAAGGUUGCAAUACUUGUACCUACUGAAAUCGUAACAGACGGUUUUCUAAAACCUUUAUAUCUAUCAUCAAUCAAAUUUUGAAAAACUCCACAGAAUUCCACAUAUAUGUUUCUAACAUUUUCUUCAACAAAUCUAUGCAAUCUCGCAUUGAAUCAUGGAAAAUGCAGAAAACUUACAGAGCUGAUUCCGGCAGCGAAAAAGGGAAUAGGACCAGGCUUCUGAUCCGCACUGGCACCACCUUUAGCAGCACGAUAAGCAUCGGGAGGCAUUUGACCAUAAACAACAGAAACAUUAACACCAGCUUUCUCCCAAACAUCACCAUCUUGAAGAACCCUACUAAUACCACCACCGCCACCCGGUCUAGACCAAACAUCUUCUCUAAACUUUCCACCACCAUCAGCAGCUUCAAUCGCAUUACAAACACUAUCCUGCGCUUCUCUAAUCAUCUUCUCAAACCUAACCCUAACCGACGACACACCUCCGUCGCCAUCGCCGCCUCGGAGAAACGUUUCCGGUCGUUCAGCUUCUGGAGUUUCCUUCUCUAUUGAAACGGUUGCUUUUACUAGAACUCUUCGAUGAGAGCGAGUGGAUUUUGUUUGGAGUAGUGGAUUUGGGUUUUGUUUGGUGAAGAGUUUUGUUGUUGGAAAAUUUGGAGAUGAUUUUGAAGAGGUGAAGGUGAAGGGGAUAACGGCGUAUGACGGAGCUGUGACGGAACUUGUAGACGGCAUUGUAACAGAAUUCUGUUACUGUUAGAUUUGAAGCAAAAAAAAAAAGGUGAUUGUGAUUGGCGAGAGUUAGUUACAGAUAAGAAGAAGAAGAAAGAAAUGAAGAGAAGAAGGAAGAGGGCUUUCAAAUUGAGUAACGAGAUAUCGAUAAGGUGUUUUUUAUUUAUUUAAAUGUUAUAACAGAUUAUAUUUUUUCAAUUAAAAUUUGAUUGGGAGAAACUUAAAAGUUUAUGAUUUUAUAGAAAUUAAUUACUAAAAUUAUAAUCAAUCAUUUGAAUUUUUUAUUAAUUGAUGAAUACUACCCGUAGUAAAUUGCACACUGUUUGUGGUAUCUACCAGCGGCAGCCAAAAGUCAAGUGGUGUUUCAGUGUAACGCCCACAGAAAGAAGAAAGUGCAAAGAAGGCAAUAAAUUCAAAUUCAAACCACCUCUUACAUUGGUUUUUGGCUGCUAAGUAUUUUUUUAAAUUUGUCCUAGAGGUAAAUUAGAAUUUAUUACCGUGUUUAAUGUAGCACACACCAGAAGAAAAAAGACAUAAUAUUUUUACACGCCACUAAGUCUAGAUAAUCUCUAGAGUUUUCCGAUCACAUUUUUUUUACUUUUUUAAGUUAAUUUUCAGAUUAAAUUAAAGAGACAUCAUUAUUAUAACAAAUAUUAAUUCAGAGAUAUAUUUUUGUACGUGAAAAAAGUAUAUUCGAAGAAAUAUCUUUGUAAAUGUUAUUUAUUUCAAAAUUUAUGGAUGGUUUCGAGAUGCAAUUUUUGGAUGAUAAUGAUUCAUAUCCCGCGUCAGAUCUUCCAUCUUCCUCCUUCUUCAUUUUAAAAAAAGUUCUCAAAACAACAUUUGAGCUCCGUAACAUUGAGCAUUCUCAUUCAUUCAUACAAACAUCAUUCAUUGGAGCUCUGCAACACUUAAACUUCUCACCUCUUUUCCAGCAUCUCAAACAUUCAAGCUACUUCUCAUCAUUUUGAUUAGAUCGGUAUUUCAAAAUUUAAUCUCUUUUUAUUUUUUGAUUUGUAGAUGGUUGUUUAAGCUAUAUUAGAUGUAUUAGGUACGAUAAACAAUAGUGUAAACGAAUUUGGUAGGCGAGAUGAACAUGCAUUGAGGAUUUUUGGGACUGGUAUCUUUUCUGCCGUGGGAAGAAGAGAAAGAAAAAAGAGGAAACACUUGAUGGAAAAGGAAGAAAUAUCGUCAUCAUCAUCAUUAUCAUCUCCAUCUUUUAAAAAACUCAAUUCAAGACUCUACUAAGGUGGGUUCUUAGUUAGCAUAACCUUGGGAGGAGAUUUUUCAUGAAAUUGGGUUCAAGGUUUUGGUAAAUUCUUAUUUGUUUGUGAAGUUGAUGAUUAAAACAUGAUUAUUGUUAUGUCUUGCACUCUUAUUACUAAAUAAUAAAGUUAUAUGGUGUUUAUUCUUGUAUGGUUGUUAUGUUGUUCUUAUAUUGAUGUUAUGUUCAUGUUGUGUGAUCAUGUGAUGAAACUAUGUUAAUGUUAUUAUUUCUUGAUGUUGUGAUAUAUUGAUUACAUGAGUUGUGUUAUUAUGGUUAGAGAUUCAUGAGGUUAAGAAGUGAUGAAAACAUAGUUGUCUAUAUAUCCUUGUAUGUUGUUGAACAUGGUUUCAAAUGCUUGGGUAUGUUAGACUAUGAUUAAACAUGGUUAGAAUGGUUAAAGAUAGAAGAAGUUGUGUUUAGAAGUGAGAUUUUUGGAAUAAUUGUCGAGUACAAUUGAUCUCCUUGAAGAAACAAUCAAUUGUCAUCAUUAAUGUAUGAAGAAAUAAGGAAAUUUGAGGUGACAGUCGUUUGUCACCCUGCUACAAUCGACCGUCAUGUUGCUUCGAGUGAAAAAUCAUGGAUAGAAUGUUCAGAAUAAUCAAAUGUUCCUCAUGACAAACGGUUGUUUCCCUUGUUCUUUGCCAAAUAUAACUUAUUUGAGGAUUCUAAGCUAUCAUGGAUGCCCUAUAACUUGUACUAUGAUAUGUAUGCAUUGAAUGAACAAUAAUCGGUCAAACUCUAUGAUAAUGAACGAGGUUAAACAUAAGAUCAUAGUUACAUGAAGAUGAUUAGUAAAGAUGAACUUAGGUUAUGAUGAAUAAUUUAGGUUGUAAUUCUCAAUUGUGAAAGGUACCUCGGUGUGUACCCAUGAGCGAAUUGUCACUUAAGAUGAAUUAUUCCAUCUAUGAGAGUGUCUUAAUGGCAUGGAUGGUGAACGAUAGUCUAGUUGCACAUUAAUGGGAUUUAUAUGGAAAGAAAUUAUGAUAAUGUGAUUGAUGAGAAUAAUCAUGCGGUGAUUAAUGAGUAUAAUCACAUAGUGAUUGAUUAGAAUAACCACGCAUUCGGGAAUAACCUUUAUUCGUGCUUGUCCGAGUCCAAUUCUUAUGUAAAGUAGUGAUCAGGAUAGACAAACCAUUUAUUUGUAACCUCAUAUUGGUUUAGAGUCCCAUAGAGGAGUGACCCUUACAGUGGGUUAGAGUCCCAUAGAGGAGUGAACCUCACAGUGGGUUAGAGUCCAAUGGAGGAGAAAACUUCAUAGUGGGAAGGAUAAAUCAUUGAGAUGGAUAUUGUGACCUAUAUCUUGACCUAUGUAAGAGUGCUUAUCGGGGAAAUUAUUUUGAUUAAGGGGUAACGUGACCCAUGUCCUGACCCAUGUGAAGCUAGCGGAAAUAUUACCCGAACGCAUCGUAUGUUAGAACAUACAACAGAGUCGCCAUCAAACUUUAUUUAUUCCUGAAGGAAAGGAAAACAUCGAUAAAACCUGGGGGGAAGAGAUAAUUGGGUAAGGAAGUCAGUUAUACAAGGGGAAGGUAUUAACACCCUUCAUAUCCGUUGUAUUCAACGAAAACUAUUUUGAUUGUUCUUGCUCAAAUGAGUGUUAUAUCUAAAGCUUACUCGCGAGAGAUAAAGGGAAAAAUGAAUGAAUAGAUAAAGUGCUCGGAGAGGAUUAAGACCCUCAUGCCUACGUAUCCUUAUAAUGCAAUAAGGAAUUCAGAGAUUCCGUAGUUCAUAUAACUAAUGGUGGGAGGUGAAAAGAAGAGUGAUAAAUGUAUGGUCUGAACCAAAGGAUAAUGUUGUUUGACUCCAAAAAGUGAUGAAAUCUGAACCCAAGAGUAAAAUUGGUAUGAACCAACAAAUUGGGGGCCUAAGGCAUGGUAUCAUUGUAUUAGAAUAACCGAAAAAGAUAAUUAAAUGUAUGACAAUAAGCCAAACUAUUCUUGGUUCGUAAGCAGACAUAAGAUGGAGCUCAAAGAAAUAAUGUAUUUGGCUCAAAGAUAACCGGUAUAUCACAUGGAGUGAAUGAACGCAUCAUGAAGAUGAAUGAAAUGAUAGAGAAAAGUAUCCAAAGUCCAAGAAAUGAAGAGUUUGGUAAAAGUGACAUAAGGGUAUAAUUUGGAACAAAAGGUAAGGGUGUAUUGGAAUCCAUAAGAGAAAUAACAUUUGCAACCACAAGUGAGGGGCCUAAGGCAUGGUAUCACUGUAUGGUUGGGCCAAAAACAAGGAAUUAAAUGUUUAGAAAUAAGUCAAAUAACUCUUGUCACAAAGGUGGGUAAGUGUCCUAAAAGGGUAUAUAUGGAAUUCCAAAGAAAAGUGGUGUUUGGUUCCAAAGAAAGGCAGUAUGUCAUCGAGAUGAAUGGUUUAAUGAUUGAAGGUAGAUUAUGAAUCAUGAAAGAUGUUGGUGGUGCCCUAAGAUGGAAAAAGGAAUAAUGAAGAUUGUGUUUGCCAAGGAUUCGCAUCCUCGUGCCUACGUAUUCUCAUCGUGCAAUGAGAAAGUCAGAUCAUUCGUAGUUCACAUAACCACGAAAACAAAGAGAAUGAGAGAUUGAAGUGAUGAAAAGUAUAACCUGCACCAAAAGAAAAUGGUAGCAUGGGAGCCCAUACAGGGAAAUGAACUUUGAACCAAAGAGUAAACAAACAAAUAAACAAAUAAACAAGUGGGGGGCCUAAGGCAUGGUAUCAAUGUAUUGGAAUGACCUGAAACAAAGAGAAUUAAGUGUCUGGCAAUAAGCCAAACAACUCUUGGUUCACAAGGGGGACUCCGAUUAGAUCGUCCUAAAAGGAUAAGUAUGGAACCCAAGGGAAAAUGAUGUCUGGUACAAGGAAUAUUAUAUCACUAUAGGGAACGAACAAUGGUAUAUUUAAUCCAUGAAGGAAUAAACUCUAAACCAAAGAGUAAAGGUAUACCAAUAAGUGAGGGGCCUAAGGCAUGAUAUCACUGUAUUGGAAUGACCAAUAACAAAGGAAUUAAGUGUUUGGUAAAAAGCCAAAUAGCUCUUAGUUCACAAGGUGGACUCCGAUUAAAUCUUCCUAAAAGGAUGUGAAUGGAAUCCAAGGAAAAAUAUAUUUGAUCUCAAAAAGAUGGUAUUGAUUGAUGAAGAAUUAUGAAGAAUAUGAUUAAUAAAUAAGGUAGAAAGAAAUAAGGUAGCUUGCAAAGAAUCUGAAUCCUCGUGCCUACAUAUUCUCAUCGUGCAAUGAAAAAGUCAGAGCUUUCGUAGUUUAGCCCACUAGGAACGGAACAAAGACAACAAGGGACUGAUGCAAGAGAAAUGAUAUAUGAUAAUGGAAUAUGAAGAAGACUUGGCAGUCAUUUGAUAUGAACCACACUAAAGUCUGAGUAAAAGUGAAUACGAUGAACAACUAGGUCAUUCGUCCCGUACCCCAAGAUAUUCAGAAUGAGUUAAUAGAAUUUUCCACUCUCAUUCACUCUUUACUACUUAAGGCUAGUUGCAUGUGAUUCUCAUCAUAACUUUCAAGUUGCUGAAGAAGAAUUCUUGUUGCUCCUUGUGAUGAUGAUGACUUUAUCAAUCAUUUGAUUCGAAUUUCAUGAAAGUCUAUGAAUAAAGGAGAAUACCUUGAGCAACUAAGUCAUUCGUCCAGUACCCAAGGAUACCCUAGACAAGGAUAGGAAUUCUCCACUCUCAUCAUUCUUUAUUACUUAAUGCUCAUGGCAUACAACUUGAAUCAUGAUUGAUAAGUUGCUGAUGAAGACUUCUGGUUGUUGCACUGCUGCUUUAUGAAGGGAGACUGACAAUCAUUUGAUUUGAAUUAUGCUAAAGUAUAUGAAUAAAGGCGAAUAUGAUGAGCAACUGGGUCAUUCGUCCCGUACCCAAAUAUAUUCAGAAUAAGUUAAUAGAAUUCUCCACUCUCAUUCAUUCUCUCUUUCUCAUGGCUCAUAUCACACAGUACAAAUAUUGAUUGACAAGCUCUUGAAGAAACACCUUUGAUAUGCUUUGUAUAAUCCGUUGCUUGAUUUGUCUAGGAUGUCUUGCAUGAAAGUCUGAACUUGAGGCCUUGAGAUCCACAAUAUUACAUAAAUAGUCUUAUCAAGUGAUCAAUUGACUUUUGAUCACUUGAGUAGACCGUGGGAUUAUACACAAUCAAAAGAUUUAGUUAAUCAAAAUUUCUUUUGAUCAAUUUAAUCAAAGGGAUUGAAUUUAAUUGAAAGUAAUGUACAACCUAAUCUAAAAGUCAAUGAUAUAUAUAAACCCUAACUAAGGGAUCAUACAACACUAGGAUCAAGUUAAUCAUCUAUCUAAUAUCACAUGGAAAAACAAAUUGAUUAAAAUGACUAAUUAAUCUAAAUCAAAGUCCUAAUCUAAGGGAACAUGAAUUAUAUGCCUAAACCCUAGGGUAAUCAAACUAAUCUAAAAAAAACUAUCAACAUGACAUAUUAGUUUCUAAAGAAUUCAAUUGAAAGCUAAUGAUUAAUUUCUAUGCUAAAGCUAAUGUAUUAAUUCUAAACUAAUGUAUUAAACUAAAACUAAAGGAUGGUUAUAUUUAUAAGUAAACUAAAGUAUAAGUUCAUUUAAAACUAAUGUAUUUAAACUAAGACUAAUGUAUUAAAAGAAAAACUGAUGUACUAAGACAAAGGAACUAAAAACGUGAAGCUACAGCAUGAAUGAACAACCGACUCUAUUCGAGUGGCAGUAGAUUGUAGUAUAGAUGCUACAAUUUUCAUAACAACUUCAUUUGAAUGCAUUCUCUUUUAUUCUGCAAGUGCAAGUUCACUCUAAAUGCAUGUGUUGUACUAGUAUACUAAUGGAGUAUUAUAUUUUAACACUUAUGUGACACCCACAUGCAAACCAAUAUUUUAAUAUUUAAAAAAAGAAUGAUUAAAGAUUAAAAAAAAAGAGAUAAUAAUAGAAAAAGUUAUGUAUCAGUAAACAUUUUAACACAAGUAGAAUAAUAAAACAACAAUGAUAAGUAAUAAAACACUAGUACUAGUAAGAAACAAAAGCGGAAUGUACAAGAUGUGAAUACGCAGAGGAGAAAAAAACAAAUACUAAGUUUUCGAUAACGGUUAAGAGAACCUAAUUCGACGAAUUAAUAUAUCAUUAGAAUCAGAAUUUCACAAAAAAAUCAAAUAUAUAUUGCGAAUUACGAAACAAUCUACGAAUUAUACCGAAGAAGCUGCAAAAGUGGGUAAAAAAUUUGAUUAAAGAAUGUGUCGGUUCGACUAAAAUAUGCAUCGGAACGAAAAGAUAAUUAUAUAUUCAUGAUCAGUGUGAAAAAUGAUUCAAAUUGUAUAUUCACAUGUUAUUAAUAGUUAAGAAUUAAAAUAUCAUUAUUUUCAAGUUUAUGUGUCUAAUGAAAAAAUGAUUAUCCAACAAGCAAUUCCAAAACAGUAGAUUAAGUUAAAUCAACCAACAAAUAUCCAAUAAUUUAUGGUAAGAGUGUGGAAGAGAUAUAAGAUUAUCGACAAAGCAAAGAUUGACUCCGAUUAGUGUUGAAAAUCGGAGCGCCGAAAAAAAUUCGAAAAAUUUCAAGAAUGAGCUCCUUUAAUCCAAUUAACUUCCAAGGCUUGAUGAUUGUUUUUUAUGAUGAAUGAAUGUAGAAGAUAAUGUAAAAUAUAUAAUAUUGAUAAACAAUCUUGAAUUGAUGAACUUUGGAUGAUCGUUGAUGAUAAUAUAGAAAUUAUUGAUGGAUGAUUUUUUUAUGAUAAUGCUUAAAUUGUUGAUUGAUGAUUUGUUGAAGUUGGAUUGUGGCUAAGUUCCACCAUUUUAGAACUUCAAUGUGAAGUUCUAAAUGGUGGUGAAGAUGAAAUUUAGGGAGGGUGAGUGAAAAGAUGAAUAUUGAGAGAAAAAUUGAGAAGAAAAAGUGGUGGAAAAUAAUUAUUAAUUGUGAAUUUUUCAAGUUAAGUUAGUGAUGUUAGCUAAGGCCAAAUUAUGAGAAAAUAAAAUGUUUGUAUAAAAUUGGUACGUGAAUGAUCAUCCUUAGAUUAUGAUCCAAGUAAUUGGUUUAUCAAUUGUUAGAAGUUAAUUUAAUCCUUAGUUGCGGAUCACCAAUUUCAACCAUAGAAUUAAUUGUUAAGAGUGAUUAUGAUUGAGUGGAAAAAACAGAAGUUGAGAUUUGUGUUUGUUUUAAAGUUUUGUGUUAAUUUGGAAGUUAUGGUAGUUAUGAGUAAUUAGGUAAAUUGAUGACUUGUGGGGAUAUAGGUAGUUAAGGGUAGUUACAGAUCAAUGAUGUUGAAGUUUAGCAAAAGUACCAAGUUAAGAUGUAUGACAAAGAGUCAGUAGUAAUUAACUUGAAUUUUUAUGUAUUUGCCUUGAUUUUUCUACCAUUUUUGGCUUGAAUUUUGGAUGGCUUAACCCAUGACUUUAGUAUUUUUGAGAAGUGAUAUUUUCCAAUAAAUGAAUGAAAGUUUCCUUUUAUUCUAACUUUGUCAUUUUCUUUGAAUCCAAGCAAAUCUUAGAAAUAACCAUGAAUUUCAAAUAAAGAGAUGAUCCCCACCACAAGUAAUACGGGAAAUAAACGUGAAUAAUUAUCAAAUAAUAUUCACCUCAAAAAUCCACUUAUACCGAUUAAAUCUAUUAUAAUCUAACCUUUGACAUAAAUUUGUUACCUUAUGCAAAUGUUGAUGAAUGCAUGAUCAAAUAGAAACAAAGUAUGUAAAUGGACAAAAUCACAAGCUAGGCAAAUUUUGGGGUAUGACAUCAUGUAAGAGGUUUUUUCUAGGAAUAAUAUUUUGAUUAUCGUGGGGAGUCUGUGACCCAUGUCUUGUUCUACGUGAGAGGCACUUGGGAAGUUCCUAUGGACGGGCAAGCUUUCACAUUUCUUCUCUUUCACACUCUAAAGCUUCAAUUCCUUUUUCCAAACAUAUAACCACUUCACUUGAAUUUGCUUAAGGAUGAGGCUUGAUAUGUAUUCAAUUCAGAUGCCAUCAUCAGAGGAUAUUACUAGUGAUCAUCAAAUCGUAAUCCUUUAACUUGAUGACUUGAUUAACUAUAUUGUGCAUCUUUAACUGCUUGAACGAGCUUUAUCACUUUCUUGUCUUAAUGCAUUGUUGUUGUUAAAUAUACUCCAAGGGAUGUUGCAACUUUAGGUGUUGUCAUCAUCAAAAUCAUGAUGUUAUUAGAGCUAGGCAUAUCUUGCUUGUUUAUGAGCUUUUAUCACUUCUUGAUUAAUCAUGCAAGCACAUGGUUCCACAAAACCUCAUCUUACAAGGAUAUGAAGUUUAAAGACUAAUUUUCAACCAAACAAUGAACAAAGUAUAUCUUCCAAAUCAAAUAGAGAUUUUACAAGGGUUGAUCUCGAUUCAAAAUGGAGUUUUACACUAGCUAUCCUCCCAAUCAAGAUAGACCUUUAUAUUGGUUAUCCUCUAAACCAAACUGGAUUUUUACACAUGAUAACCUACGAAUUGAGAUGGGAUUUUACACAGACUAAUCUCGAACCAACUAAGCUUUUACACCAGACUAAACUCAGGAACCAAAGUGAGAUUUUACACAAAUUAAUCUCAAACCGGCAUAGCUUUUACAUCAGGAUAAGCUCAAGAACUGUUGUGGAUAUUUUACUAGAUGAUAUUCACGAACCAAAAGAGAGACUUUCUUCCAAGCAAAAUUCCCGAACCAAAUAGAGACUUCCUAAGACAAUUCCCCAAAACAAAUAAGAACUUUUAUUAGUUUAGCUCGCAAUCAAACAACUUCUUAUAAAAGAAUAUUUUACUUAAGAGAUAAUACACUAUUUUUAAAUAAAAAUUAAGCGCUCACCUAGAACAGUGUUCCUCACUUAGACACAAGAACAUUCUCGAAGCACUAAGGCAAAAUAUGUGCGAGAGAAAUGAGAGAUUUAUAGAAAACGGUGAGAGAGUGGUAAAGUAGGAUCAAAGAUCACACUCUGGGUGAUUUAAAAUGUUAGACAAGCUUUUUGCUUAUAUGUCAAUUGGUGGUAUAAAUUUGGAAACAUUCUAUGAAAAAUUCAAGUCUCAUAAUCGAUUAGCCUAAUAAAUUAUUCAACCCCAAAAAAUGAAUGUUUUGAUUUCUAGAUAUUGCCAGUUAUUAAGAAACUCUUUCUAAUACAUUAUAGGCAUUACAGAUUGAAAUAAUUGAUUAUAGCACUAUGUCUAAUAGAUUAUUUACUUGUAAACAAGCUUCCGAAAUAUCAAACAGUUCCCUAAUCAAUUAACUAUGCGUUAAAAACAUUUUUAGGUAGUUUUUACAAAAUAAGAUAGGAUUCUCAAUGGUUUUAAGUGAGUGUGAUUUUGCCUUAGUAUUUCAUGAAAUGCCACUGUGCCUUUACGAGACACUAGUCACUCAUACAAACACGACCAAACGAGCUUUUACACUUCCUUUUUUUCACAACUUUGAAGCUUCAACUCACUGUAUCAUUAUCUCUGACUUUAACAUCACACAAGAAUAUUUAAUCUUAUAGCUUUACGAGGAUUGAGAUAUUUUCUAGUUGAUUACCAUCAUUAUAGAGUUAAGAGAGAACAUACCAUCAACAAACCUUAAAACAAAAGUCUUCACUUGAAUGUCGUUUAACCAUAAUGUUGAAUUCAAAGAGAUGAUUUAAUCUUCAAUAGCAUCUUAAAAAAGAUAGCUUGAUAAAUCGUCAUGAGCAUCUUUGAGAGAUAAGGACUUCACUAAAUAUCAUUUGAUAUAAAGUGUUGUCAUCAUCAAAACCAAAGAACCAAUUAGUUGAUUGUAGCUUUGCUAUCAACAAACUUCACCACCUUAAAUCACCUUGACAAUACCAACAAGCACAUAGUUCCAUAAGAUCUUCAUCAAAUUCUACUCAUCCCCAUUCAAGUUAAGCACAAAACUCUCACAUUUUGUAAGUUUAUCAUGUCCUUACUUUAUUUAUUAUUUCUUUAUUUAUGAGGCAUGCAAUUCAUUAAUAGUUUAAAGUUAUGUCACAUUAGGAUAUAUUCAAUAUAAAUAUAUCGUUGGUUUCUUUUUAAUAAGAUUUGGUGUGAAUUUCUGGUUCAUUUUAGUAUCAAUUUUGAAAUCUAAACCCUUGGUGUGGAUAAUAAAAUCCAUAUUUUUUAGUUAUUCAUUCUUUUUUUAACUCUGUUUGCUGAUAAAUUAUUUUUUAACUAUAUAGAAAAAAUGGAUGAUGAACAAUAGAGAUACAAACAUGAUUGAAUCGUCUUCCUUGGGUCAUAUAUCUCCGGCUCAUGAUGAAUCACUUGUUUAUCCCGUUCAUGAUGAUAUACAUGUGCAUGAUCCACAUCCACAUCAUGGUGAAUCACUUGUUUAUCCCGUUCAUGAUGAUAUACAUGCACAUGAUCCACAUCCACAUCCUGUAGUCGGACCUGAUGCUACCUCACUUGCUAGUUUUUAUAGAGACCCCUAAGACACUUCCAUACUUCCUUUAUAUGUACACAAUGUUAUAGUUUAUGUGUUGGAGGGAGAGGUUAAAUGAAUGUUAUAUUACUUUUUUAAACAUUUUUUUAUAUUAAUUGAAUUGUCUGACAUUGAUGUAUUUAUUUUUGGCAAGAAGAUAUUAAAGAUAUCGUAGCGUGAUGAACCAUGAUUUCAGGAAGUCUUGGAGCUAUUUGGGAUGAAAGACUUCAAUAGGACUAGAUAUGGUUAUAUUAACCAUGGUUUAUUUUCUAUGUUUUUUGAGAUAUAACAUGCAGAGACAUCAUCAUUUCAUAUUUCGAUCAGUGAUAUGACUAUCUUAAUUGGAGAUGUAUCAUGCAUUCUACAUCUUCAGAUCACAGUAAUAUUUUUGGAUCACUCCAAAAUUACUAGACUUGAGGCCCUCGACCUGAUGGUGACAUAAUUAGGGGUUGAUAUGGGUAAAACCCAGUAUGAGAUAAAAGAAAUUAGGGAAAUGUCAUGUUAUAUUCUCAUUCAUAUCGAAAAAUCAUAUUAACCACCUUAAUGCGACUUGAGUGUUGCAGGUGAUGAGAUACAUGUUUCCUAUUAUAGAGUACGUGCAUAAGGACAUACUUACUGAUCUUGGUUGACACUGGUAUUUUUAUGGACAAAAGUGCGAUCUAUGUUGACAUUGUCUAUAUUAAAUACUUCACGGAUUUGGAGAGGAUUCAUGAGUACAACUGGAAUGAAUCUUGUUUGGCUUACCUCUACUCUAAGUCUGUUGAAGGUAGUUUAUGGAAGACCAAAUAGAUAAAAUGAAGCAACCAUUUAUUUCAGAUAAUUUAUUUACACCCUUACUGAUAAUUAUUUCACAAUAUUUUUGCUACAGACUUACUAAUAUUUCACUUGAACCAUUUUUCAAGCAUGUCUCCUAUAUCAUUUUCCAAGCGUGAGCACUAAUAAGGGUGCUAAAAGUAAGCCCUAUUCUAAUCCCACAAGCCCAAUUUACUAGCUUCUGAAGAAGCCCAUCAAUCAUUCAUGAAAUAAAAACAAAACUCACAAUGCAAGCAGCUGCCGCUACCGCUUGCCCUUCUCUACCAUCAUUCUCAAGCAAGCUGUAGUCGCACUCAACCCCCCGGAGUUAACCGUCGUAAGAACCAACAUCACCACAAACAACCAGGUUAACAUCUAUUUAUAUUCCAAAUUUCCCUUCUCCUUUCCCGGCGCGGCGGCAGCGCGUCACAGAAAUCGAUUUGCGCCGCCGCAGUCGACACCAUAAUCUCCCCUUUCCUAACACAUCGUUGUUAUUGUUAUUUUUGUAGAAUUGAAUUGACCUAAAAUGGGAGUUGGACGUGAAGUCUCAAUCUCACUCGAUGGAGUAAGAGACAAGAACAUUAUGCAGCUCAAGAAGCUCAAUAUUGCUCUCUUCCCCGUUCGUUACAACGAUAAAUACUACUCCGAUGCACUUGCUUCCGCCGAAUUCACCAAACUAGGUUCGUUCGUUCCUAAUUUACUAUCUAUUUUUAUCAAAGAAGUUAUUAAAAAAGAUCUUGAGAUUAAUGACUUGGAUAGAAACAUGGUCUUUGAUAGAACAUUAUGGCUGAAAGUUGAUCCAUGUAGUGGGAUAAUGCAUAGUAGUUGUUGUUUGAUUUGCAUUUCACUUUUUUUUUGUAACUGAUCUUGAAUUCCUAUAUGCUACCUUCUGCUUCUGCAAUAUCCCUGCAUUUGAUUUCUAUUAGGAAUUUGAUUCUGCAUAGAUAAAAUUAUGAAUUCAUGUCUAACUUAUUUAGAUUCGAACAUAUUUACUCAUUUCCCCUAGCUAGAAUGAUUGGUAACCCCUUUAUAAGAGUUUUAAGAAGAGCAUAGAAUACAUAUGAUAGGAUAGUUCUCUUGGUUUCUUCGGUAUAUGUGCAGAAUGCUAAUGGUAGAACUCAUUCAUACUGAUUCUUUUCAUUAUUUUCCUCCUUCAUUUAAGGAGGUUAUGUGAAUCGUUUUUUCUUUGAAAGCUCUCUUUACUUAUGGUAAAAGAUCUUUCAUCCACAUCCCGAAAAUUUUGUGGAAGCUUUACUUUAAUCCAGCGCGAGUUCUAUAUAUCUUCACUACUUCAUAAUACAAUACAUUUGCGUGCUUCUGAGUGUUUUUGACUUAGUUAGAACUUGGAAUGCAAGCUUUACUUUAAUCCAACUGGCCUGUUUGAUAUCUCCGUGCUUUCACUUUGCAUGAUAAUAUCGAUGAUACUUAGAUGUGGGUGUGCAAGGGACCUUUUGGGUUUGUCUAACACAUUCGUUAUUGUGCUUUCUUUCAGCUUACUACAGUGACAUUUGUGUUGGUGCGAUUGCGUGCCGGCUUGAGAAGAAGGAAGGUGGAGGCCAAGUUCGGGUUUACAUCAUGACUUUAGGUGUUUUAGCACCUUACCGUGGACUUGGUAUUGGUAAGAAACAUAUUUAAUAUAUUCCCCUUGCUGUUACCUGGUAAUUGAAAGCUUAAUUGAUCUUACAUAUGGGCAUGACUCAUUUUAGUGUGCAUUUGUGCCAUAGUACCUUAAACACAUAAUAAGAUCAGGUUGUAAGGUGCAAGCUUCAUAUUAGGAACAUUUCAGUUUACGCCUAUCCACGUCCAGUGUUUCUAAAUGUGCCACGUCCUCUAAGCUUUCUAUCUAAGUGCUGUUAGUAACGUGACACGAAUCGUUUGGUUUAUGCAGGAACGAAGCUGCUGAAUCAUGUUCUUGAUCUUUGCUCCAAGCAGAACAUUUCAGAGGUUUACUUGCACGUGCAGACAAACAACGAAGAAGCGAUUAGUUUUUAUAAGAAAUUUGAGUUUGAAAUUACAGAAACUAUCCAGAACUAUUACACAAACAUCACACCACCAGAUUGCUAUGUCGUCACAAGGCACAUAACUCCUAGCCCAACAAAGAAAUAACAUCUCAUGUCAGUUAUUUUGGGGCAAUUCAUCAAAGAUUGUUGCAUUAUUUAUUGAAUUUUGCCAUGAAUGUAUUACCCUGAAGUUUGCCGUUUUUAAUGCUAGAUUUUAAACAGCAAAGUUAGCCCAAAAAUAGAAGCAAUUGGGAAUCUCUUUGCUAAGGUAUUAAAGUUAUUCUAUCCCUAUCUUCCCCCUUCCACACCCUAUCUUACAAUUUUAGGCAAAAUAUUUUUGAAUUUGGUACAAGAGUCUUUUGGGGGAAAUUGCACCUUGUAUUUUAUUUUAUAACUAAAUAAAUAAAUAUAGCUUUUGCGUCAUGGUUUCAGAGUUCAACAAGGUGUUUGUUUGGGUAAAUAAUUUUGUUAAAGAAUUGAAUCAAAAGCGUUAGAAGAUAGUUUUUCAAACCUAAUCAUAGAUUAAAGAACUGAAUUGAUAUGUUUUUUCAAAUUUUUAAUAUCAGUUUUUUUCUAGUGUUCUCUAAACCAUUUGGCCAGAAAAUGUUUGAUUAUAGUUGAAGAAUCACAUACUUUUCAUCUAUUGUUAUCAUCAAUCAAUAGUAGAAUCAAAAUUGAAAUUGAAGUUUAACACACCAUCAAAGCAACAUGUAUAAAGAUUUAAAGUAAAUUUUAUAGUGAAGUUUUUUUAAAAUAAAAUAAAAUAAAUCAAAAUUGGUUAAAGAUGAGACUUGAAUCCAUGACACCCUACAUUUCACUAUAAAUGACUAUUUUGCUCUUUAAUUUAAAAAAAUAAAAUUAAUUUUUACAUUUUUUUUUGAAAUUUUAAUUUUUACCGAUUAUUUUAAAAAAUUCUCUAAAACUAUAAAAUUUGAGAAAACUUAUGGGUUUAUAUUGGGGUUUUUCAAAAAUUUUGUGGUAAAUGAUGAAGUACUGGAUAUUUUUUCUUAAAAAUUUGAUAGACUAUUUUUUUACAAUUAUUUAAAAAGCCUAAAAUUAUCACUAUCAAUUUAUUUUUUUAAAAUCUAAUAUAUAGGAUGUAACUAUUUUGUUUUUAAAAAUCUGGUAUAUCAUGUAUGAGUGCACAAAAUUUGAUAAUUCUUUUUGUAAUUACUAAAAUGAUACACAAUUAAUACUAUCAGAUUUUAUGAUAAAUUCAAUAUGUAAAUAGCAUGUCCCCUAAUUUUUCAAAGUAUAGAUGUGUGACGCACCUAUGUUGGUAAAGGUGACUAGAGACUAAUAAAGUUUGUGGUAUUUUAGGGAAAAUUAUGACCCUGAUGGUGUUUUUUUUAUGAAGUGAGAGUUAUGGAAUCUUGUUUUGUAGGUGAUAUGCUUUUAACAAAGUUAUAAAUUUUUUAUGAUAACAAUUAAUGUAUUAUGAUAAGUCAAGCAUGAGCAGUUAAGUAGAUAAAGAUGCAAAUUUAAUCGUUAGGGUUUCAUGGACUUGACUAUCAGAUUAUGACAAUAAAAUGGAAUAGAAUUUCAAGCCUCAUCUCAAGCUACUCAAGCAAGUGUCCACAAAAGAUAAAGCAUCUUACAAGUUUUGAAGUACUGGAGAACCUCCAAAUUUAAUAGUGAGUGAACCUAUUGUAAAAUAUAAGGGCUUUAUCGUAAAGGCGCAUGGCUAAAGCACACACUCACUAAAAUAUUUUUCAAAAUAUUUUUACCAAAGAAAAUACCUUUAAAAUAUCUUGAAAUUGUGCCCGGUGAAUUAGGAACAAUCAAAAUAGCUAUAUGCAAAAUUUUGACUUAUCUAAUCGAUUGAGACUUUUGUCCAAUCGAUUAGCUUAAUUCAAAAUUGAGCCACAAAUGAUUAGGCCAACGCCUUAAUUAUAUUCAACGACUAUAUAUAUUUUCCUUCCUUAUUUCUAAACUUACAAUCGAUAUUUCAAACUUCUAAUCGAUUGUGAUCAUGUGCCAAUCAAUUAGAUUAUCAUAAAAGUCAUUAAUUAAAAUUUCUUUUUGAGGCAACAUCUAGCCUAUAAAUAGAGUUCCCUUUUCUCAUUUCAUUUUAGACAGAAACAUGUUUUGACAAACCUCUCUCUCUCUCUCUCUCUCUCUCUCUCUCUCUCUCUCUCUAAACUAUAAUGUUUUAGCCUAACUGCUUUUGUGUGAAAAGUCAUUUUGUGAGUGAGGAUAUGAUUGUAUUUUUGGAAAUGGUGGAAUUGUAAAUUCACCAAAGGAAUCUUUUGUAUACACCUUGGUUGAAUAUUAUCCAUUUAGGGAUUUGUUUGUGUUAGAAACUAAAUGUCUUAAAAGCUUUGGUUUGAGAAUUGUGUGAUCAAACCCUAAUUUAGUUUGGAGAUCUGCCAAUGAUAAAAUCUCAUAGGUUCUUGGUCAACUUAGUAUUAAAACCAAGAUAGGUUGAAGUUUAACCAAGUAUUAAAAGCUUCAUAGUAGCGAGUGAAUCUAUUAUAAAAUAUAAUGGCCUUAUCGUAAAAGCGUAUAGUUAAAACAUGGACUAAAAUGUUUUUUAAAAUAUUUUUUCCAAAGAAAGUACCUUAAAAAAUAUCUUGAAGUUGUCUAAGAUGAAUUUUGAAUUGUUAAAAUAACUAUAGGCAAAAUUUGAUUUCUCUAAUCGAUUGAGACUUUUGUUUUAUCGAUUAGCUUAGUUUAAAAUUGAGCCACUAGCGAUUAGGUCAGUGCCUUAAUUAUGUGCAAGGACUAAAUAUCUUGUCUUUCCUCCCUUUAAACUUACAAUAGAUUACAUUUCAAACUUCUAAUCGAUUACGAACAUCUUUCAAUCGAUUAGAUUAUCAUAAAAGUCAUUUAAUUGAAAUUCCUUUUUGAGUCAACCUCUAGCCUAAAAAUAGAGGUCUAUUUUCUCAUUUCAUUUAAGGCAAAAAUGUCUUUUGACACCUCUCUCUCUCUCUCUCUCUCAACUUUUAUUUAACUUUCUCUCACUAAUGAUUUAACCUAAGUGCUUUUGUGAAAAAGUCUUUUUGUGAGUGAGGAUAUAAUUGUAUUUUUGGAAAAGGUUAAUUGUAUUUUCACCAAGGAAAUCUUUUGUAUACACCUUGGUUGAAUAUUAUCCAUUUAAAGAUUUGUUUGGGUUAAAAGCUAAAUUCCUUAAAAACUUUGGUUUUGAGAUUGUGUGAUUAAACCCUAAUUUAGGUUUGAGAUUCGCCAAGAUAAAAUCUCCAGUGUUCUUGGUUAACUCGGUAUUAAAACCAAGAUAGGUUGAAGCUUAACUCGGUACUAAAAGCUUCUUAAUAAUGCGUGACAUAAUUGAAAAUAUAAGGGCUUUAUCGUAAAAGUGUACGACUACACGCUCACUAAAAUGUUUUUCAAAAUAUUUUUACCAAAGAAAAUAUCUCAAAAAAUAUCUUGAAUUUGUGCCAGAUGAAUUAGAAACUGUCAAAAUAGUUAUAUGCAAAAUUUUGACUUAUCUAAUUGAUUGAGACUUUUGUCUAAUCGAUUAGCCCAGUUCAAAUUUGAGUCACAAGCGAUUAUGUCAGCGCCUUAGUUAUGUGCAACGGCUAGAUAUCUUUUUCUUCCUUUUUUCUAAAACUUACAAUAGAUCAUAUUUCAAAUUUCUAAUCGAUUGUGAACAUGUGCUAAUUGAUUACAUUGUCAUAAAAGUCAUUUAAUUAGAAUUCCUUUUUGAGUCAAAUUCUUAGCCUACUCUCUGCUCUCUCUUCUCUUCUCUCUCUCUCUCUCUCUCUCUCUCUUUUUAUAUAUAUAUAUAUUAUAUAUAUAUUAUAUAUAUAUAUUAUAUAUAUAUAUAUAUAUAUUAUUAUAUAUAAUAUUAUAUAUAUAUUUAUAUAUUAACUUUCUCUCACUAAUGUUUUUGCCUAGGGGUUUUUGUGAGAAAAGUCUUUUUUUGAGGGAGGAUAUAAUUUUAUUUUUAGAAAUGGGUAGAAUUAUAAAUUCAUCCAGGAAAUCUUUUGUAUACAUCUUUGUUGAAUAUUAUUAAUUUAAGGAUUUGUUUGGUUUAGAAGCUAAAUCCCCUAAAAGCUUUGUUUUGCAGAUUGUGUGAUCAAACCCUAAUUUAGGUCGGAGAUCCGUCAAGAUAAAAUCUCCAAGGUUCUUGGUCAGGUUAGAAUUAAAAUCAAGUUGAAGCUUACCCCGGUAUUAAAAGCUUCAUAGUAGUGAGUGAAUCAAUUGUAAAAUAGAAGGGUUUUAUCGUAAAAGCGCACAGCUAAAGCACAUGCUCAUUAAAAUGUUUUUCAAAAUGUUUUUACCAAAGAAAAUACUUUUAAAAAUAUCUUGAAGUUUUGGCAGAUGAAUUAGGAACUGUCAAAAUAGCUAUAGGAAAUUUUUUGACUUAUAUAAUUGAUUUAGACUUUUGUCUAAUUGAUUAACCCAAUUCAAAAUUAAGCCACAAGCGAUUAGGUCAGCGCCUUAAUUAUAACGACUAGAUAUAUUUUCCUUCUUUUUUAAAACGUACAAUAGAUUAUAUUUCAAACUUGAUUGUGAACAUGUGUCAAUGGAUUAGAUUGUCAUAAAAGUCAUAUAAUAGAAAUUCCUUUUUGAGCCAACCUCUAGCCUAUAAAUAAAUAUUCCUUUUCUCAUUCCAUUUCUGCCAGAAACAUAUUUUGACGUCUCUCUUUCUCUCUCUAGCAUAUAUAUAAAAUUUUAUUUAACUUUCUCUCACUAAUUUUUUAGCUUAAGUGCUUUUGUGAGAAAAAUCCUUUUGUGAGUGAGGAUAUAAUUGUAUUUAUAGAAAGGGUAGGAUUAUAAUUUCAUAAAGGGAAUAUUUAGUAUACACAUUGAUCGAAUAUUAUUCAUUUAAGGAUUUGUUUGGAUUAGAAGCUAAAUCCAUUAAAAGCUUUGGUUUGGGGAUUGUGUGAUCAAACCCUAACUUUAGGUUGGAGAUCCGCCAAUGAUAAAAUCUCACAGGCUCUUGGCUAGCUCGGUAUUAAAACCAAGAUAGGUUAAAGCUUAACCCAAUAUUAAAAGCUUCAUAGGUUUGAGAUUAGUCUGAUAUUAAAAUCUCAGAGGUUAUUGGUUAUCCUGUGUAAAACUAAGGUUUAAGGCUUGUGAGCUUAGCCUGUAUAAAAGCUUACAGGGUUUAAGGAACUUGAAGAUUAAUCGCUCCAGGAUCAUUGAUUGUGGAUGACCGUCUGGAUUCACAGUUUGGAAGAGAAGACUCAAACUACCAUAUUCCAAAGUCUUAUAUCAUUUGGUUGGAGGUCAACCAUCAUUUUCUUGUAUACGGUGGUUCGUGAGUCUUUCCUACUAAAAGCUCACAAUAUUUAUUAGAUACUCUCAAGAUCAUUUCUUCGGGAGAGGAGUAAGUUAUUUUGUUGUUUGAACGAACCUCUAUAUAUCGUGGUGUUCAUCUCUUUCCCCUAACUCUUUUAAAUUAUGCAAUUUAUUUUCCGCUGCUAAGUUUUUCAAAAGUGUUUUUAAAUUUUGGAUUUAUUUCCCAAAGAUUUUUAAAACCACAUUUUUCCAAACCACACAGUUCACCUCGUCUUGUGUGUGAAGUCUCAAGUUCAACAAGUGGCAUGAGAGCCUGACUCCUUUUUAAGGACUAAUCCUCUUAGGAGGAAGAUGACUUCCGACAAAAGAUCUUUUCUAAACACAUCAUCACUUUUCAAUGAUAGUAAAUUUAAUAUUUAACAAGCUAGGUUUAAAUUUUUUCUUCAAGUCAUAAAUCAUGAUUUGUGAAAAACUAUAGUCAAUGGUCUGAUUUACCCUACUCAUCAAGUAAAUGAUGAACCAGCGGAUAAACCAUAUUUCCUUUGGACCAAAUAGGAAAAGAGAAAGAGAUAGAUAAAUCUUAAAAUAAAGAACUUUAUAAUAAUGUAUCUAAAUGAUAGUAAACUUCACGAUGUUCAUCGUUGUAAAACCACUAGAAAAAUAUGGAAUACUUUUGAAAUGAUAUAUGGAAUUUCUCCAAGUAUCGAACAAGAGAAGAUGAACACGCGAGACAAAAAAGUUGAAGAUACCUAUCAUAAAUGUUUUUCAAAGUUUAGAAAUAUUAGAAAUCAUGUUGGAAACUGUAUUACUAACAAAUAUCUAAGAAUUAAGAAUUGGAAAUUUAAUCCAAUCCUCAAAUCAAAAGAUAAGAGCCUUUAUGAAUUUCAGGAAAAAUUAAGAAAGAAGAAAAUCAUAGAAAAGUUGAAAGAUCCAGUUCAAAUACUCAAAGAUGAAGGAAUUCAAUCAUACUCUUAUCAUACAACUCAUGUACAAUCCUUAAAAAGAACAUACUAAGUAGUUGAACGAUUCUCAGAAGAUUCAACAUCAAAUGAAUGACCCUCUUGUUCAAGGAAUAACAAAGAAGAUGAAGAAGUUUCUUUAAUACUCGAAUGAAGAAGAGGAGAGACAUAGACACUGAGGAGAAAUGUGAAAGAAUAUUUUUCCAACAAAGAAGAUGAAAUUUGCUUAAAGGCAUCCUACGAUGAAGAUACUAUUCCAGGUACAAACCAUAUUACGCUCAAUUAUUUAGAAUGACUAAUCAAUUAAUGCUAUACUAAGAUAGCGUACCAUAGGUAUUAAGGAAUACAUAAGAUAUCUUAAGGAAAUAAACAAUUCUUUUAACUAAGCUUAGAAGCUCAAAAGAAGAAUGUAAGUAAUGUGACUCCCUUAUAAAAAAAGUAACCACACUUCAAGAAACCUUACGAAAGUUUACCCAAGGGAAGGAAAAGCUUGGUCUAAUUUUAUCCAGUCAAAAGUCCUCCAUAAAUAGAAAAGGAAUAUGAUUUAAAAGGGAUAGAAAACCUCGGAAAGGUGUAAAUCAAAAGGAUAAUAAGUGUCCAAUUUAUAAAUGCAUAUACUGUAAGAGAAUAUGACAUAGAAAACCCUUUUGUUUUGAUAAAUUGAAAUGAUAUAAAGGUAACCUCCUCGUAUCUUCUAUGACUAAUGCACCUGGACCGAAGAAGAUAUGGCCCCAAAGGUGAAACCUUAGUGUUUUGCAGGUGUGCUUUGCAGCUUUGAGUUUCGAAGAUUAUUAAAUAAAGACGUGCAAAGCAUGAUAUACUUCUAAAGUAUAUAAUAUUUAUGAAGUCUUUGAUCCGAGGAUGAACGAUGAUGGAAAAUGUCAACAGUUGUGAUCAUAGCAAAUUAUUUAUGAAAUAUCUCAAGGUUUAUGAUCCUUAGUGAUCAAGUUGAAUGAAUAUGUGUGUGAUGAACUUAUUAACAUUGUGGUUUUACUGACUCUCACAUCCAACGAUGUGUAGAAGAGGAUACACCAUAGUAAAUUUGGUGUCUUCCCUCUUUGGGAAAUAUUUGUCAAGAGUUCUUGAUAAAGGAGGUAUACAUUAUUUUAAGGUUGAAAUAAUCAAGAAUCCGAUUAUCCUCUUAAAAUAAUAAUUUUAAAUUAUUCCUCAUCUAAAUUAAUUAUUAUCUAAACCAUAAGAUGAGUAUUUUAGUAUUUUCUAGCAAGAGGGGUGCAAAAAUGAUAAAAGGGAUGUCGAAAAGACAAAAAUCCAACAUAAGGCCUAACAUGCACCAAGGAGGCUGAACUACAUAAGCCCAAUCAGUUAGCACUUAAUGGAAACCGAUUGGAAAAUAUUGAAAUGAAUAUAUUUAGAUCGAAUCCAAGCUUAACUCGUGCCUCAAGAAAAUCAAAUCCCAACAUUAAUGAAGAUUUCAUGAAAUCCUGAUAAAUUUGGAAAUCCAAUCGAUUAGAUCCCUUAACCAAUCGAUUAGAAGGCUCAAAUAGGAAAGGUUUUGAUUUGAUUUUCGAUAAGCACAAUCUGCAUUGAAUUCUUACCAAGAAUACACGCUCAAAUCCUCAGAUGGCCAACUAUAAAUAAGUAUUCACUUUUCACUCUUUUUUAUUACAUAUUCUCUUUUCAAACCUUGUCUCUGAGAUUGUUCUUGCAACAUAAUCAUGAAUCCAAAAAGAUUGAGCUUCACCUCCAUCCCCCUUAUUGGUGAUUUCACCACCAAACAACAAUAAUCAAGGUUCUUUCAACACAUUGCCAACCAAAACCUUAUAAGAAUUCAUUCCCUAGAUCUAGAAGAUUUCAAAGAAUGAAAAUUCUUUAAGACCUUUGAUGAACUAAAUCUCUCCACCUUUCUUUGCAUGCCUUCAAAAAUAAUCUAUACAUCCCUUGUGAAGAUGUUCUUCUUAAACCUUCUUCUCACUGAUGGAAUACUUCAAAGAGAAGUAAAAAAACAUAGGAUAAGCCUAUCGGUAGAAGAAUUUAGAGAGAUGCUAAAUCUCCCUCCGGAAGAUAGAAUCAUUGAGCAUGGAUAUAAAGCCAAUCAAUACGACUACAUCAUCACUACAUCCUCUCUUAUGAAAUAAACAUUACCAUGUAUGCCUUACCCAUUCACGGGUGGAUACAUUCACCUUGAAAUGCGAAUGAUUCAUUAUGUAAUCAAUUACAUCUUUUUCCCAGAAAAUGCAACUUCAGUCUCUUAACACAAGAUGAUGUAGAAACUGUAUGGUUGAUAGUAAAUAAAGUUAAGGUGAACUGGGCACAACAAGUAAUUGACUAUAUGAUAUAAAGAAAGAAGAUACACACCCUCCAUAUGGAAAUCUAUCCGACAACAUUUUGGAAGAAACAUGAUACGAGUUUGGAGAUAAAGAGUUCAAGGAAGAAACAACCAUUAUAGAAAGCUAUGUCUUACCAUCAAUGAAGCACGAGCUGAUAAAUGGAAAGAUCACUGAAAAGGAACCAUCAAAUAAGAAGAAAAGGAAUGCCAAAAAUUAGGAAAUACCUAUAGAAAUAGAAAGCUUAGACAAUUGCCCAUAAAUACUCACAACUAAGGACUUUAUGAAAAUCAUAAGUGGAAAAAUAGAUGUAAUCAAUGAAAAAAUAUACUUCAUGGUACGCCACUUCAUUCAUGACCAAACCAAACUACCACAUGACCUAUUCUUCUAUGAUGAUCUUGAUGCAGAAUAAUCCCACUCAGAAUUUUGUUUAUUUUAUGUGUUUUCUUUAAAAGCUUUAAUUUCAGUAUUUUCCCUUCUUGUAAUUUGAAUUUCAGAAAUUUCCCUUAUGUAACUUAAAUUUCUUAGUAAUAAUAUGAUUCAUUUCCUUUACUUUUCUAAAUGUCUAUAUAUCUCUUGUCUUCAGAUUUAUUUUCGCAAUGCAUCUUUACCCGUCUUUUGAUUUUGACAAAGGAGGAUAAGUAUACUCUCAGAGGGAGUAGGGUGUACUCUCUAUUUACCUCAGGGGGAGUUUAAUCACUCCAAAUAUAUAUAUGUUGUCAUCAACAAAAAGGGGGGGCAAUGUGAAACCUUGUUUUGCAGGUGUUAUGCUUUUAACAAGGACAUAAACUUUUGACGAUGACAACUAAUUUAUUAUGAUAAGUCAAUCAUGAACAGUUAAGCGGAUAAAGAUGCAAACCUAAUAGUUAGGAUUUGAUGGAAUUGGAUAUCAGAUGAUGGCAGUCAAAUGGGAUGGAAUCUAAAGCUUCAUCUCAAGCUACUCAAGUAAGUUUCCAUAAAAGAGAAAGCAUCUGGAAAAUGCUUUAUCGUAAAACACAUGGAUAAAACACACAAAGGAUUUAUCGUAAAAACACAUGACUAAAACACACAGUCACUAAAAUGUUUUUACCAAAGAAAAUACCUUCAAAAAUAUCUUAAAGUUGUGCCAGAUGAAUUAGGAACUGUCAAAAUAGCUAAAGGCGAAAUUUUGACUUAUCUAAUCGAUUGAGACUUUUGUCUAAUCGAUUAACUAAAUUCAAAAUUGAGUCACAAGCGAUUAGGAGAACACUUUAAUUAUGUGCAACAACUAUAUAUCUUUUGCUUCCUUUUUAUUUUAAACUUACAAUUGAUUAUAUUUCAAAUUUCUAAUCGAUUGUGAACAUGUGUCAGUCGAUUAGUUUGUCAUAAAAGUCAUUUAACUGAAAUUCCUUUUUGAUCCAACCUCUAGCCUAUAAAUAAAGGUGCUUUUUAUCAUUUCACUUCAUCCAUAAACGUGUUUUGACACACCUCUCUUACUCUCUCUCUCUAAAGUUUUAUUUAAGUUUCUCUCACUAAUGUUUUAUUCUUAACGCCUUUUGAGAAAAGUCCUUUUGUGAGUGAGGAUAUAAUUGUAAUGCUGGAAAGAGUAGAAUUGUAAAUUCACCAAGUGAAUAUUUUGUAUACACCUUUAUUGAAUAUUAUCCAUUUAGGGAUUUGUUUGGUUAGAAGUUAAUCCAUUUAAAUGGUUUGGUUUAGGGAUUAUGUAAUCAAACCCUAAUUUAGGUUGAAGAUCAGCCCAUGAUAAAAUAUCCAAGGUUCUUGGUCAUCCCAGUAUUAAAACUAAUAUAGGUUAAAGCUCAUCUCGAUAUUUAAAGCUUCACAUGUUCGAGAUCAUCCCGGUGUUAAAAUCUCACAGGUUAUUGUUUAUCCCGUGUAAAACCAACGUUUAAGGUUCGCGAGCUCAACCUGUGUAAAAGCUUUCAAGGUUUAAGGAACUCGAUGACUAACCUCUCCAAGAUCCUUGUUUGUGGAGAAAUGACUAAUCACUUGGAUUCACUAUUUGGAAGAGAAUAGUCAAACUGCCUUAUUCUGAAGUAUUCUAUUAUUUGGUUAGAGGUAAACCAUUAUUUUCUUGUAUAAGGGGGUUUGUGAGUCCUUCUUACUAAAAAUUCUCAACGUUUAUUGGAUACUCCCAAGAUCAAUUCUCGGGGAGGGGAGUAGGUUGUUUUGUUGUUUGACCGAACCUCUAUAUAUCGUGGUGUUUGUAACACCCCGAUAAAAUAUGAUAAUUAUUUAAUUUAAGUUAAUAGUAUAUUUAUUAAUUUAAUUAAAUAAUUAGAUUAUUAUUGGAAUAUUAUUUGGAAUAAUAAGUUGGAAUAUAUAUAUAAGAGUUCCAUUUGGUAAAAAGGGUUUUUCACGUGAAAACCAGAGAAGCGACAGAAAGUGGAAAAGGGCAAAGAGGAAGAGCAAGAGAGCAAGGGUUGAAGAAGGGAAAAGCUAUACACCUAAAGGAACGCCGAUAACUCAGGUAAGGGGGUUUUACGUCGUGUUAAUGGGAUUAUGGGUAACAUGUAAGGGUAGAAAAGCCAUUGAUUUGACCCUAAUUUGGAUGAUGAAUGUUGCAAAUUGUGAUGACCAAAUAACGUUAAAAACUGUGAUUGAAUCUAUGUUUGGAUGAGUUUGAUUUCUGGACGUGUAGCUUUUACGGAAUCGAAAUCGGAGGUCCGAACUCCCGACGGCGGAAAAUGCGGGUAAUUCUGCAUUCUGUUGUGUAGCGCAGGCACAGCUUGGUCUUGCGUAACCGUUAACCCAGGGUGUUAACCGGUUAACACUGUUAUGAUUAAAAAAAAAUUAAUUCUUUCUGCGUUAAACCGGUUAACCCAGGGUGUUAACCGUUAACACUGUAAUAAGUGCCAGGAAGCGUGUUCUGUGUUGCGUUAACCCGUAACCAGGGCGUAACCGGUUAAAACUGUUGAAGUGGAAAUUUGAUAUUUAAAUAUGUGGACAUAUUAUGAUUGACCUAUAUUGGUGUAAUAAAGUAGGGAUCAUUCCCGUUUGACAUAUACGGAUUAGAGAGUGAGCUAUAGUGUGAUUUAUAUUUAGCAUGAUAUGAAUAAUUCUGUGAUAAAUAUGCUGAUAAGUUAUGAUGGUAUGCAUAAUGCUGUGAAUAUACUGUUAUGUAUCAAUUGUGAAUGGACUGUUUAUGGCUUAGAGGUUGAGCAUAUGUCCAUGUGGAUUGUUGGAUGUUGCAAAGCUAGGUAUUUAGCGUCAUAGUAUGGCCUUUAUGGUGGUAGCUAAUUCCCAUGGUGAGGAAUUAGUGAGUGAGUUAUGUGGAUUGUUGUUUAUGUGCAUGCUAGUGAUUUAGCGUGCAUAGCAUAGCCCUUGGGUGGUAGCUAAUUCCCAUGGUGAGGAUUAGUGAUGUAUCACUAGGUCUCAAAAUGAGUGGGACUAGUGAGCUUGGUAGCCGUAUCUGAUUUGAUCGGUGAGGUUGAACUAGUGUUCACAAUAGUCGUACGCGCAUGCAUGGAGUCUCAUUGCAUAAAAUAUGUAUGGUGAUAAUAUGAAUGGAUGUAUUCCAAUAUAUACGUGUUUUUGUGUUGGUUGAGUAUGAUAAGAUUUUGAGUUGAUGUUGCCGUUGCUGAAGUGUGAUCUGAUUUGGGUGAUGAAAUUGUUAAAUUACUUAGCAUUACAUGAUAUUAUAAUGCUUAUUAUAUCGAUGAGGAACUACCCUUACAACUAUGUUUCAGGUAACGAGCAGUGAUUGAGUAGAAGCUAGUGCUUGGAGUCUAGUGUAGUUCCUUAGUGGUCAUGCUCUGGUAGAUGUAACAUCGAGACGAUGUUUUACUUGUUUCAAUUUGGUUGUUGAACAACUUACAUGUAAUGUUUACAUGGUGGCAUGAUUGAUUUGAUUCUAUCCGCUGCGAAUUGUGCAAUGUUAUUAUUGAUUAAUAAAGAGCAUGACAAGUUAUAAGGUGAAUGGUGUGAAGUGUCAAGUGUGACACCCUAAAUUGCAUACUACUCUGAUUUAAUUUUGUUGAAUUAAUUAAUUAUUGGGUAUUUAGAAGGGUGUUUACAUUAGUGGUUAUCAGAGCAUAGUCGGUCGAGUCGAGUCGUAGUUAUUGUUUCCCUGUACGUGAUAGGUGUUGUGUAACCCUACUAGUACUUAUGUUUUAGCUUGUUGGGUUUUCAGAAUAAGAUGGUUUGAAAGUAGAGACGAUGCUGCGAUUGCUGAGCGCUUUGGGUAUGCUACGGAAUACUUGAGGAAAUCCGAAGUUGUGGGCGGAGCUGCUCGUCAACUGAGUGAGUUCCAGAAGAACAAUCCCCAUGUCAAGGGAGCAACGAUCCAGAUGGCUCAGAAGUGUUGAAGGAGAUCGAGAGGAUCUUUCGAGGACUGAUGGUGCGAAAUAACCAAAGAAGUCAGUUCGUACGCAUAUGCUGUCAAGAGAACAGAUAUGAUGGGUCUGUCCGCACUGAUUGAAGCUGCUGGGAGCUGAGAUCACUGGGCGGUGUUCAGAGAGAGAUUUUUGAGAAGUACUUUCCAGAGGAUCAGAGGAAAGAAAAGAUAGAGUUCUUAGAAUGAAGCAGGCAACCGGUCUGUUACUGGUACACUGCCAAUUCACAGAGCUGUCGAAGUAUACACCCUAUGAAGCAGUAGCAGAUGAGGCAGAUUUUACUGUACGGACUUUGGAGGCUAAAGAAAAACUGCGAUUUGCGAUCAUAGCUGUGGGAUUUUCCUGAUGUUCCCUGAAGAGUGAAUGAAUUACCGCCAGAGCGUGAAGUAUUCUCGAUUGAUUUGCCCUGGUACUAGCCGAUAUCGAUGGCGCCGUACCGUAUGUCUCUGUUGAGUUAACUGAAUUGAAGAGUUCAGUUGGAAGAUUUGUGGAUAAGAAAUAUCGUCCGGGUUCACCGUGGGUGCACCAGUGAUUGAAGAAAAGAAGGUACUAUGAGGUGUUGUGGACUACAGGCAACAAAAAGUGACGACAAGAAUCCGUAUCCUUUGCCAGAUUGAUGAUAUAGGACAAUGGUUGGCGAGUGUGUUCAGCAAAUAGAAUGAGACGGGUAAAUCAGAUACUGUGAAAACUGAGGAUAUUCAGAAGACUGCUCCAGAACAAGGAUGGACAUAUAUAGUAUUCAUAUCCUUUGGUGUGACUAAUGCGCCUGGGUAUUUAUGGAGAUAUAAAUAGGAUUUUCCAUCCGUACCUAGACAAUGUUGGGUGUAUUGACGAUAUUUUGGUGUAUUCAAAAUCGAGAAGAGCAUCACACAUAGAGUGGUUUAGAGUUCUCAGCAAAAAGAAGUUAUUAAACUGUCCAAGUGUGAAUUUUGGUUAGAAGAGGUAUUUCUGGUCAUGUCAAGAUGGUUUGCUGGGACCUCUAAGAUAGAAGCGUAUCUAAGUGGAAGCUCCGAAGUCAGUUCUGAGAUAAGGAGUUCUCUGGACUUGCAGGUUAUAUAUAGGAAAUUCAUUGAGGGAUUUUCUAAGUUGGCGUUACGUGACGAUGUUGACUAGAAAGGGGCAAGCGUUGUUUGGGAUUCACAUGUGAAAAAGGUUCCAAGGUUAAAGAGAAGGUUAACUACUGCUCCUUUCUAUACCAAGUUCAUCGGAACCAUUUGGUUUACUGUAGCUUCAUUGUUGGUUGGGUGGUUUUGAUGCAGAAUACAGGAAGCUUAGCUUCAGACAACGAAGUUCAGUGAGAGGAACUAUCCGACACACAUUUAGAGUUGGCAGCUGUGAAUUUUUCGAAGUUAUGGAGGCAUUACUUACGGGUCAAGAUUUGAGGUUUUCAGUGACCAUAAAAGUUUAAAGUAUUGUUUGAUCAGAAAGAGCUGAAUAUGAGACAGAGGAGAUGGUUAGAGUUUCUGAGGAUUAUGACUUUGGUUUGAAAACCAUCCGGGUAAAGCAAACGUAGUGGCUGAUGCAUUGAAUCGGAAAUCAUUGCAUAUGUCUAUGUUAAUGGUUAAGGAAUUGGAUUUAAUGAGCAGUUAGAGACUGAGUUUGGUGUGUGAGAGAACUCACAAUAGUGUUAAAUUGGAAUGUGAAGUACGAGUGGUAUUCUGGAUGAGAUUAGAGAGGGUCAGAAAUCCGAUGUGCUUUGGUUGAUAAAUUGACUCUAGUAAAUCAAGAUCAAGGGAAUUCAGAGUUGAUGAGAAUGGUGUUUUGAAUUUGGUAAUCGGUGUGUAUUCCGGAUGUUACCGAACUUAAGAAGAGUAUUCUUGAGGAAGGACAUCGUAGUGGCCUGAGUAUUCAUCCUGGGGCACGAAGAUGUAUCAUGAUUUGAAAAAGUUAUUUUGGUGGCCGGAAUGAAAAGAGAAAUUGCGAGUUUUGUUUAUUUGUUUGACUUGUCAGAAGUCAAAGAUUGAGCAUCAGAAGUCGUCUGGGCUAAUGCAACCGUGGCUAUUCCAGAGUGGAAGUGGGAUAGUAUCAGUAUGGAUUUUUUUCUGGUUUACCGAGGACAAUUAUGAAUUUUGAAGCUAUUUGGGAUUGUUGACAGAUUGACAAAUCGGCUCAUAUUCCGAGUCAGAAUGGAUUAUCCUAGGAAUUAGCUGAGUGUGUAUAUUGAGAAAAUUGUAAGUUUGCAUGGUAUUCCCGUCGAGUAUUGUUUCGACAAGAUCCUAGAUUUACAUCAAAGUUCUGGGAAGGUUUGCAGAGGGCUUUGGGAACUAAGCUGAGAUUGAGUUCUGCAUAUCAUCCGCAGCUGAUGGUCAGACUGAGAGGACGAUUCAGUCACUGGAGGAUCUUUUGAGGGCUUGUGUUUUGGAAAGGAGGUGCUGGGAUUGUUAUUUACCUUUGAUUGAGUUUACCUACAACAAUAGUUUCAUUCGAGCAUUGGUAUGGCACCGUUUGAAGCUGUAGGUAGGAGAUGUCGGACACCUUUAUGUUGGUAUGAGUCCGGUGAGAGUGCUGUGGUUGGACCGGAGAUUGUUCAACAAACUACGGAAAAGAUUACGAUGAUUCAGAGGAAGAUGAGGAUUGCUCAGAGUCGUCAGAAGAUUAUCACGACAAAGAGGAAAGUCACUUGAGUUUCAAGAGGAGAUCAUGUGUUUCUUCGUGUUACUCCGAUAACUGGGGUUUCGAGCUUUGAAGUCGAAGAAGUUGACACCUCGAUUUAUUGGUCCUUAUCAGAUUUUGGAGAGGAUAGGGGAGUACCCUAUCGUAUCGCUUUACCGCCGUCACUUGCGAAUUUGCAUGAGGUUUUCCAGUGUCUCAGUUGAGGAGGUACAUUCUGAUCGUCGCAUGUGGUCCAGUAAGAUGAUGUACAGGAGAGAAACCUGACUGUUGAACAUCACCUAUGAGGAUCGAGGAUCGAGAGUUGAAGCAGUGCGCGGGUAAAGAGAUUUCUUUGGUAAAGGUAGCUGGGGAGGACCAGCAGGUGGCAAUGUGACUUGGAACUGAGAGUCAGAUGAAGGAGUCUUAUCUAGAGUUAUUCGCUUGAGGUAUGUUUUCGAGGACGAAAACUCUUUUAGGGAGAGUUGUAACACCCGAUAAAAUAUGAUAAAUUUAAUUAAAGUUAAUAGUAUAUUUAUUAAUUUAAUUAAAUAAUUAGAUUAUUAUGGAAUAUAUUUGGAAUAAUAAGUUGGAAUAUAUAUAUAAGAGUUCCAUUUGGUAAAAAGGGUUUUUCACGUGAAAACCAGAGAAGCGACAGAAAUGGAAAAGGCAAAGAGGAAGAGCAAGAGAGCAAGGGUUGAAGAAGGGAAAAGCUUGAAGCUAAAGGAUUGCCGGAUUAACUCAGGUAAGGGGGUUUAUCGUCGUUUAAUGGUAUUAUGGGUUAACAUGUAAUGGGUAGUAAUAAGCCAUUGAUUUGACCCUAAUUUGGAUGAUGAAUGUUGCAAAUUGUGAUGACCAAAUUACGUAAAAACUGUGAUUGAAUCUAUUUUGGAUGAGUUGUGAUUUUCUGGACGUGUAGCUUUUACGGAAUCGAAAUCGGAGGUCCGGAAGUCCUCCGACGGCGGAAAAUGCGGGUAAUUCGCAUUCUGUUUGUGUUAGCGCAGAAAAACUUUCUGUCUUGCGUUAACCGGUUAACCCAGGGUGUUAACCGUGUAACACUGUUAUGAUUUAAAAAAUUAAUUUCUGUUCUGCGUUACACCGGUUAACCAGGGUGUUAACCGAAACACUGUUAAAAUGUGCCAGGAAGCGUGUUCUGUGUUGCGUUAACCGGUUAACCCAGGGCGUUAACCGGUUAACACUGUUGGAAAAGUGGAAAUUUGAUAUUUAAAUUUGUGGACAUAUUUGAUGAUUGCCUAUAUUGGUGUAUGAUAUAGUAGGGAUCAUUUCCCGUUGUUUGAGCAGUAUAGGUAUUAGUAGAGUGUGCUAAUACUGUGAUUAUUAUUUAGCAUGAUAUGAAUAUGAUCUGUGAUAAAUAUGCUGAUAAGUAUGAUGGUAUGCAUAAUGCUGUGAAUAUAUUUGUUAUGUAUGCAAUUGUGAAUGGACUGUUUAUGGCUUAGAGUGUGAGCAUAUGUCCAUGUGGAUUGUUGUUGAUGUUGCAAGCUGGUGAUUUAGCGUGUAUAGUAUGGCCUUUAUGGUGGUAGCUAAUUCCCAUGGUGAGGAAUUAGAGUGAGUUAUUGUGGAUUGUUGUUUAUGUUUGCAUGCUAGGUGAUUUAGCGUGCAUAGCAUAGCCCUUGGGGUGGUAGCUAAUUCCCAUGGUGAGGAAUUAGUGAUGUGAGUCACUAGGUCUCAAAUGAGUGGGAUAGUGAGCUUGGUAGCCGUAUCUGGAUUGAUCGGUGAGGUUGAACUAUGUGUUCACGAAUAGUCGGUACCCGCAUGCAUGGAGUCUCAUUGCAUAAAAUAUGUAUGGUGUAAAUAUGAAUGGAUGUAUUCCAAUAUUAUACGUGUGUUUGUGUUGGGUUGAGUAUGAAUUAUGAUUUUGAGUUGAUGUUGCCGUUGCUGAAUGUGUGAUCUGAUUUGGGUGAGAAAUGUGUUAAAUUACUUAGCUUACAUGAUAUUUUAUAAUGCUUAUUAUAUCGAUUGAGGAACUCACCCUUACAACUAUGUUUCAGGUAACGAGCAGUGAUUGAGUAGAAGCUAGUGCUUGGAGUCUAGUGUAGUUCCUUAGUGGGUCAUGCUCUGGUAGAUGUAACAUCGGGACGGGAUGUUUUACUUUGUUCAAUUUUGGUUGUUGAACAACUUUACAUGUAAUGUGUUACAUGGUUUGCAUGAUUGAUUUGAUUUCUAUCCGCUGCGAAUUGUGCAAUGUUUUAUUUUGAUUAAUAAAUGAGCAUGACAAGUUAUUAAGGUGAAUGGUGUGAAGUGUCAAGUGUGACACCCUUAAAUUGCAUAUCUACUCUGAUUUAUAUUUUGUUGAAUUAAUUAAUUAUUGGGGUAUUUUAGAAGGGUGUUACAGUGUUCAUCUAUUUCCUUUAACUCUUUUAAAUUCCGUAGUUUAUUUUCCACUUUUUAUUUUCCGCUGCAAAUUCUUUCAAAAAUAUUUUUAAACUCUGAACUUAUUUCCCAAAUAUUUUCAAAACUCCGUUUUUCCAAACCACACAAUUCACCUCCUCUUCUGUGUGAAGUCUGAAGUCAAACAAGAGUAAGCUCAUGAGAGUGAUAAGCUCUGUAACUAGGGGUACUUCAUGGUGAAUUCAAAGUAUCUUCUCAACCAUAAGGAUGAUUUCUUGCACAUGACGCUAAGUAAAAUUCUAAAAAAACAUAAGAUAAGAUUUACUUUUGGGUGGUUGUUCAUUACACCCUUAACGGUUCUUCCAAAUCCUAUGAAUUGUUUUUUGAAAUUGUCCUUCUUACCUCAUAUGAAUUAUAUUAUGUAGACACAUCCUAAAUACAAUACACCAUGUAGUUUAUUUGGAAUGAUUUUGACUCUAAUAAUUUUAUAUGUCUGGAUUGUAACAUUUAGACAAAAUGUAAUUCAUAUAGAUUGUACAGUAUGAGCCUUACAUUUGUAAUGGUAUUCCAUUAACCCUUUUACUCACGAUCAUAUAACAUAUUCCCCUUAAUCGCUCUAAAAUAUUAAUUCAUUGCUAUUCAAUAAUUUCAUUUGGUACCACAAUUCAAUAAUUUCAUUUGGUACCACAAUUCAAUUGUAUUUCAAAAUCAAAAACAUCAUAAUCGUAUUAAAUUACAUGUAUUCUACAUCUGUAUCUCUUAUCAUUUAAUCAUAAUCAUUUUUUUUUUAUCAUUGAGAGAAUUGUAGAGAUAACAUCAUAUGGAGUCUUCUGGAUUGUAACUUUCUGACGUAUUGAAUGGUUGCUUGAAUUCAGUUAAUUUUGUUGGUUGUAGGCAUGUCACACCUUAAUGUUAUAGACCAAACUAAUACAUAAGAGGAUGGUUUGCUGAAAGAUCCCUAACUUGAUGUUGCACACGUUAAUGUUAUGAAUGAAUUUAGCACUAAACAAGAGUUUACGUUACAUGAUCAUAUGCUUAAAUGAGUAUAUGCAAAAACUAUCCAAUUAAGUUUUGGAAUAGUAAUCAGAAGGUCGAAUUUCGGUUCUAAUAUAAGGCGUGCAUUUGCUAGGAUGAAAUGCGAAAGAAGUGGUCAAUAUAAAUAACAUAUGUGAAAGUUGAAAUGUCAUGACACUAGAACAAAGAAAUACAAAUGUCCUUUUAAGUUGCGCAUGUAUCAUAAAGCGAAUACUAUUUGAACAUUUAGUAUGAUUUGCAGUGUUCAUAGUCAUGGAUUGAAUCGCAAGUUAGUUGAUCAUCAGAUUGUCAGUCAUUUAGUUUAUAAAGUGAAGAAAAUUGUUGGGAGGACAAUGAACAUGGUUGUUCCCAAAACAUAGUCACAAAUUUGAAAUGAAAAAAGAUUCAAAGUUAUCUCAAAUAUUAAGGAAGUUUAUAAUGUCCGUCAUAGAAAACAACAAGGUGAUUAUAGGUCUAAGAACUAAAAUGCAAUAAUUUCCACACUCUUAGUCUAAAUCAAUAAUUAAAUAUGAUAUUAUAAAAAAAAACAAAUAUUCAAACAACAAUUUCAAAAUAGUCUAAGUUGAUUUAUUAUAUCUAACCUACGAUUCAAAUUGUUUUCUUCAACUAACAAAAUAAAUUUACUAGUAAAAUAAUUUUAAAAAAAAAUCAAUUUAUUAAUAAUAAAUGACUCUCCAUAUAUAUAAAAUCAAAAUUAUUUCACAAUUAAUAAACAGAACUAUUAUUAUUUUUUAAAUGUAAAUCCUAAUAAUUUUAAGAACUACAUUUAUUCUUUAUUAUCCAAUAAUAAUUAUGCUUCAAAUAUUACACGUGGAUGUAAAAUAGAGAGUUACAAAAAUAUGAAUGCCACACAUUAUCCACAACACAAGAGAUCUAUUGUACAAUAGGUGUGUAAGAUUACACUACAAUUUUGCAUACAACAAAAUAAAAUCUCUUAUCCUAUUCAUCACACUACGUGUAUAACCACGGUUGGAUCAUAAGAUCACACUCUCAUCCUUACUAUAUCACACCAUUCAAUAUUCACCACAAGAAUCUCCACGUUGCAUGCAUCUAGUGGCUUAAACUUGUUCAUAUCUUCUUUCCUUUGGCUUAUUAGUUACUGCAUUAUCCAUCAUUCAUUCUUAACCAUCUACUACAUUCUUGAAGAAGAAAAAAAACACUCUAUUGGUGUAACAAAGAGGGAAAGAAAAUGGCUACACAAGCUCUAGUGUCGUCAUCAUCUCUUACUUUUGCAGCUGAGGCUGUGAGACAGAGCUUUAGAGCAAGAUCACUUCCUUCAUCAGUUGGAUGUUCUAGAAAAGGUUCCUUUCUUGUCAGGGCAGCUGCUACUCCUCCUGUCAAGGUCUCUCUUUCUCUCUCUCUCUCUCACUCAAUUCAAGUAUAGUUCGUUGUGCUUUGAUUCAAACUAACUUUCUUUAUCUUUUUGGUUUUCAGCAAGGUGGAGUUGAUAGACCCUUGUGGUUUGCUUCAAAGCAAAGUCUUUCUUACUUGGAUGGAAGGUAAAUUAUAUAGUUUUAGAGAACUCAUAGGAACUGUUUAUGACAUCUUGUUAAGAGCUACACAUUAGAUAAUAUAAGCUAGAUAAUAUAUGACGAUUAUAUGUUUAUAAGUGAGAGCAAUUUUCGAUUACAAUAUUAAGAUGGUAUAUGAGUCUGGUUCAAGAUCCGGUGGACCAUCUAUUAUUAGGGUUUCUUCGUGUCCACGCCCCAUAUGUUCCCUCUGGUGGGUGGAGUGUGUUAAGAGUUUCCCGUCAAAAAAUAUAUGGAUUGAUCCUAUAUUUAUAUAAGUGAGAUGAGUUAGGUCAAAUUCUAAUUCUAAUAUCCGUUAUUUUUCAAUUUAUUUUAUCAAAGUUUUUUAAGAUAGUUUAUAAAAACAAUAUAAACUCUUAAUUAAGAUGUUUAUCCACACAUAACAAAUGUGUAUGAUAUUAAAAGUGGUUAUAUAAUAGUAAAAGGUGUCUAAUGUUCUUCUGACGGUUAUGAUUAACUGAGAGUAUUAUCACACUUGCAGCCUACCCGGUGACUACGGAUUUGACCCUCUAGGACUAUCGGAUCCCGAAGGAACAGGAGGUUUCAUUGAGCCAAGAUGGCUAGCAUAUGGCGAGGUAAUCAACGGUCGCUUCGCAAUGUUGGGAGCAGUCGGGGCUAUAGCACCCGAAUAUCUCGGGAAAGUCGGUUUGAUCCCACAGGAAACAGCCCUCGCUUGGUUCCAAACGGGCGUGAUCCCACCUGCAGGAACAUACAACUACUGGGCAGACAAUUACACACUCUUCGUCUUGGAAAUGGCACUGAUGGGAUUCGCGGAACACAGAAGAUUCCAAGAUUGGGCCAAACCUGGUUCCAUGGGAAAACAAUACUUCCUAGGACUUGAAAAAGGUUUCGGAGGUUCUGGCAACCCUGCAUACCCUGGCGGACCUUUCUUUAACCCUCUCGGUUUCGGUAAAGAUGAGAAAUCUUUGAAGGAGUUGAAGCUUAAGGAAGUGAAAAAUGGAAGGUUAGCUAUGUUGGCAAUAUUGGGAUACUUCAUUCAAGGUCUUGUUACAGGAGUUGGACCAUACCAAAACUUGUUAGAUCAUGUGGCUGAUCCUGUCAACAACAAUGUCUUGACAAGUCUCAAGUUUCAUUGAAUGAAUGUAUUAUAUU